RNAcentral lists this long non-coding RNA (87599 nucleotides) under Ananas comosus (pineapple). Its description in RNAcentral is "long non-coding RNA (ACOM_LNC012101)". The record is from RNAcentral. Lineage: Eukaryota; Viridiplantae; Streptophyta; Magnoliopsida; Poales; Bromeliaceae.
UUAGUCAGAGGCCACCAAGUUGGGUUACAUUUUGUUAGCAGUUAUCCCUUUUAUCAUCUUUUGUAUUUGAUGAUUAGUGAUGUAAAGAAAGAGUGUAAAGCUUAUUUUGAGGUAAAUGAGAUGUAAGAAGAAAUGGUGAAAAGAUGUAAUGAAUGUAAGGAAUUCGAAAGUGAACAAAAUGGAUGCAAUGUAUAUGAUCUAAAGUGAAUCAUAUUACUUGUGAGUGUUUAGUCUCCUUUUUCUUUCACUAAUGGCUAUUGCUUACCCUCGUGUAAGCCGUUUGUGUAUGUUUCCGCUAGUGCAAUUCUUGUUUGAAUUUUGUACAUGUGAUGAGCCUUGGGCGGAUAGGGAAAACUCUGUCCGUUCGGCGUCUGUUUGACGUGCUCGGGUCGGGCCAAAUCGGCAUCGGUCCCGGGGCGUGACAAUAGGGGUCAAAAAUUUACUUCACAUAACGUAGGCAUGUUAAGCAUUCUAAAAUUCAUAGUAAUUACAUUUAGUAUGGAAAUGCAUGAAUUUCUACUUUAUGAAACACAUUUCACCAAAUAUGAGGAUUUCUCAUAUCAUAGGCUAGGUCAAACCCACCGAACCGUCGCGUGCUCCUUCGAUUCGCCGAACGGAGUUGUCCACGAGUCUCAAAGUAUCCUAAAAGUGAUUAGCGAAGAGAUACGAGGGCAUUACGACCAACCAUAAGAUCAAACAUUAACCUAGAAGCAAAAAGGGCCAAAACUCACCUCAAAAGAAGAAAUCUCUUCCAAAGCUCCAAAAGAGAGCUAGAACCCUUCCAAUCCAAGCCUAAGGAAGGUUCUAGACCAAUCAAUCUAGCCUCAAAAGCCCUAGGUCAAAAAGCCCCAAAAUCAACCCUAAAUCUCAUUUCUAGGGUUUCAUCUACAAAAACUAUCAAACAAGAUCUAAAGGAGGGAAAUGAGCAACAAACCUCCUUAGAAGCUCCAAUCCUAGCUCCAAGGGUGAAGAUCUCCUCCUAUGCAAGCUCCAAAUCCAGGCCUUCAAGCAUCAACAAAGUGGGGAGAGGAAAAGAGGCAAAGAAAUGCUCCAAGUCCACCAAAACCCUCUCCUUCUCCUUCUUCUCCUCCUUCUUCUUCUCUUUCUCCUUCUCUCUCUAGCAAGGGUGUGGGGAGAGUGUGAGGAGGGAAAUGAGAAGAAGAGAGAGGGGAUGGGUCAUAUAGACCCUCUAUUGUAACAAAAUCCAGCUAGGUCCUUCAAAAAUCCAAAAUUGCAUCAGCCCGAACUGGGCAGUUUUCGCCAAGAGGGACCAGUCUCUCCCCAGCAGGGACCGGUCUCUCACUGCGUAGACGCGCUCGGGGACCGGUCUCGCCCGCCAGGGACCGGUUGCCUCAGGGCUGCCGCACCACUGCUCACUCGGGGACCGGUCUUUCCUUUUAGGGACCGGUCCCCGAGAGUAAAAACUCUCAGGAUUGUCCAGAAUUUCAGUUUUCGAACUUUUUAGGUCGAAAAGCAUUCUACAACCCUCCACCAAGUAUGGAAAAGCUCGAAAUACAUCCAAACACUCGAACCUUGCAAUUUGCAAAGGUCCAGUGCGUCACAAUUGCUAUUUGCAACAUACUGCAAUCUGCAGUUUUCUGCACUUGGUACCGGUACGUGGGUAAUCUGUCACCAGUACGCCGCUACGCAGAGGCCAAACCCGAGAGCUAUUAUUCUCGGCUGGCUGGUCUGAUACCGGUACGCAUCAGGGGUGUCACCGGUUUAACAGCCUAAAAUACUCAAACCCGAGAGUUGCUACUCUCGGUCUGCUACGGGGUAAAACCCUCCAACAAUUGCUAUUUGCAACAUACUGCAAUCUGUAGUUUUCUGCACUUGGUACCGGUACGCGGGUAAUCUGUUACCAGUACGCUGCUACGCAGAGGCCAAACCCGAGAGCUGUUAUUCUCGGCUGGCUGGUCUGGUACUAGUAAGCAUCAGGGGUGUCACCGGUUUAACAGUCUAAAAUAUUCAAACCCGAGAGUUGCUACUCUCGGUCUGCUACGGGGUACCGGUACCACUCCGAUGUUUAACCGAUUACACAAUGCCCAGACUACAGUUUAGUACUUGUUCGACCUCUAUUUCGCGUUGAGCAAUGCUAAAACUCAACUAUUUCUCCUAGAAUUCAACUUUGACCCAUUCCAAUAUUAUUGGAAUGUCAAAUGGAACAUGUCCAAGCAUCUCUCUCACCAUACUUUGGUCCUUUUGACCAAAAGUGGUUUAAUAGGACGGGGAAUCAAUAUCUUACAGUGUCUGUCUAACGCCUUGCGCCUAGUGGUUGGGCAAGGUUGCUUUGCCCACUCUCUAGAUGCACAUUUUCAAUUAAAACUACCACGAGCUCUUCUUCUUUCUUUUAUCUAUUUAACAAUUGUGUAGAAAAAAGUAUGACAGGAAUCAAGAGAGACAGAGCUAGAGGUUUAACCAUUCUACUUACGAAAAUAGUUAGAGAAAUUUGCCCUAAAUGAGUUUUAAACAGCUCAGUAAAUACCAAAACCAGUCAAGAAAAAGUUUCAACAAACUUGCUAUUUUGAUUCGUAUUUUAAUCCGUUCAAAAUGGUAAAGAAAAGCAGUUAACUACAGUUUCUAGAAUUUUACAUAAAAGUGAUACGAAAAAGUAUUUUGUAGAUCUCAAAAUUUUCAACUUUAGAAGUACUAGAAGUUUAAAUAUCUAUAAAAACUUAUGAAUCCUCAGUUUACUACUAAGGUGGUGUGUUCCUAUGAAGUUUGGGGAAGGUAGGCGUGCAAACCUUCUCCGUUGCCUUUGGUCACUUUUCUAUUACUGCGUUCAUACUGAGCUGGUCAUGCCGCCUACCUUUAAAUUAAUGCGUUCGCAUGGUGACCUCAUAUAUUACAAUAAUAUUGAUAUAUGGAGACAAAAUAUUUAGCAACGAAGUGUAAUUUUGUUGGUAUUUAAUUAGCGACUAAAUUUAAUGUUCGUCGCAAAAUUAAAAAAUGGAGAGUUUUUAAAACGUCAUUAGUGACAAUGUAACUUUAUUACUAAAACGUAGUCGCUAUAAGUUUAAUAGGAUCAAUUUUUUUCGCCCUAAAUUAAUUGUAGCGACAAACGAUAAUUAAUAACGACUAAAUUAGACGUCACUUUAUGGUUCAAUAAUUAGUGAUAAAAAAUGUGGUCACUGAAACUCUAUUUUUAGCAACAUAUUAAUGUUCCGUCACUAAAAUAUUAAAAAUCUGUUAUAAUUUUUGUUGCUAGAAGUUUAUAAAAUAAAAUUUAAGUUAUUUUAUUUGGUUAAAUUAAAAAUUUUAUUUCAUAUAACUGUUGUAUUUUUUAUUAGUAUUUAAUUCUUAUAAUUUUAUUAAUUAAAAUUUAUGCAAUAUUGAUGAUUUGGUAUAAUUUUGAUCUUAUAUCGUUGUUUCAAAAUUCAACCUAAUUUAAUUCUUUCGUUAGUAGAUUCUUAAAUUUUUAUUUAAAUUAUUAAUUUAAUUUUAAAUUUGUCUAAAUUACAGAAAAUUCGCCUGUCAAUAUCCGCUUUUUUACUUUUUUCCUAUCAUUUAAAAAGUACACUUUACCCCCUUGAAAAAUAAAAAAUAUUCACAUGAGGUUACGGUGUUAACUGUGAUGAUAAAAUUAAUGGAGGAUCAAGUGAUGAUACAAUUAAGGAAUUAAUUAUGGGUGAAUCAAAUUCCCAAAAUCAGGAAUCUACCAACUAUGACAAGUAUUCAAAUCAUAAGCAAUUGUGGAAACUCAAGAAUGACAAUCUCUAACCGACUGUCCCUAGAGCAAGUGGCAAAGGGCUUGGUGGUUGGUACCCGAGACCCAAGUUCGAAUCCUAGUUGAUUCACAUUUCUAGCUAAGUUUAUUUCUAAAUGAAAUAAACGAAGCUACCUAUCUCUCAAAAAAAAAAAGAAAAAAAAAAGAAUGAGAAUCUCUCAAGUAUGGCAACCACUCCAAAUAAAAAAUAUUUGGAUUCAAAUAUUGUACAUUUCUAGAAUGUAAUUAUUGUAAUCCCAGGAAUAAUGGGAUUAUAUUUUGUAUUCAAUAAUUAUAUAUACUGAGAGUUGGUUUUGUGUGUUCUCUAUUGAGGACAACAAUCAUUUUUCCACCAAUUAUAAUUUUCUUUAUGGUAUCAGAGCCAUAAGACAUUAGUCAUCAUACUUGAUCUAAUGGCCACUUCUAGUGCUUCUUCUUCUACCACAAGCCCCACAUUUGUUAUUGCUAACAUUAGCAAUUUAGUCUCCAUUAAACUUGAUCGCGGCAACUAUCUAUUAUGGCGACAAUAAUUUCUUCCCGUUCUUUUUGCUCAUGACUUGAUGGGUUAUAUUGAUGGAUCCAAAGAAUGUCCAUCAAAAUUCACCAAAAAUGCCGAUGGCACUAUUACCGACACUAUCAAUUCGUCCUUUUUGGAGUGGAUGAAACAAGAUCGUCAUCUGCUCUCUUGGAUUCAAGCUACCCUCACCGAAGGGGUACUUGCUUAAGUUGUCGGCUUACAAACCUCUCGCGAUGUUUGGGUUGCAUUGGAACGUCGGUAUGCAUCUCUCUCGCGUGCCCAUAUUUCACAACUUACUACUCAACUUCAAACUAUCAAAAAGAGAGGUAUGACUAUCACUGAUUAUAUGAAUAAAAUAAAAGCCAUAUCUGAUAAUUUGGCGGUUGUCGCUAAAUCGAUCCAUGAUGAUGAUUUGAUUCAUCAUAUUGUUCAUGGUUUUUCCCCGGAAUAUGACCCUAUUCGGGUCUCUAUUUGUACUAAUCCCUCUAUUUCUACUGUUGAGGAAGUGCAUGCUAUUUUAGCCGGUGAAGAACUACUUUUGGAGGAACGACGUCAACUUCAAUCUUCCAUCACUCAUGAAUUAAUCUACCGCCUUCAUUGCAUAAACAAUUCUUUUCAAAACAAUCUUGGCUCUAAUUAUGGCUGAGGGCGCAAUACUAACAAUGGCAGGGGAUGUGGAAGAGGACGUGGUGGUCAUGGCCGAGGUGGAGGCCAACCUCCACGUAACAACAACACAAAUGCAAAUGCUGGGCAACGUCCAACUUGCCAGACCUGCAAUCGAAUUGGCCACAUUGCACUCGACUGUCACUAUCGAAUGGACUUUGCAUAUCACGGGUGUACUGCUCCUCAGGGCCUUCAAGCAAUGGUGGCAACAACUUCUCACUCUGCUGAUCAAACUUGGUAUGCUGAUACUGGAGCCACCAACAACCUAACUUCUGAUCUCUCCAAUCUUACUAUUCGCACCGACUAUCAAGGAAGUGAGAAAAUAUCUGUAGGCAAUGGACAAGGUUUGCGCAUUCUUCAUACUGGUUCAUCUACACUUCAUACCCCAUCUCAACCUUUUCAACUAAACAAUUUGUUACAUGUUCCUGAAAUAUCAACCAAUUUAGUUUCCGUUAACUAGUUUUCUAAAGAUAAUACUUGUUGCUUUCUCUUUGACUCUCAUGGUUUUUGUGUGAAGGACAAAUAGUCGGGGAAGAAGCUUUUCCACGGGCCGUGAAAAUGGACUAUAUCCCAUCAAAUCCUUCAAAAAUAAUCAGAAUAAAUCAAGUCCUUUUGCUCUAUUGGCGAAAGACUUUUUCUUCAAUCGGGCAUCAUAGGCUUGGCCAUCCAUCUGCUACUACUUUGCAUUAUUUGUCUGCGCUUUCGAAUAUCUUUUUCAAAGGUUCUAUAAAAGAAAUAAAUUUUUGUGAUUCAUGUCAACUUGCGAAAAGUCAUCGUCUUCCUUUUAUUCUUUCUACUUAUGUUUCUUCUUCUCCUUUAGAACUUUCACAUAUGGAUGUUUGGGGACCUACCCCUAUUCUAACAAUGAGCGGUUUUAAAUAUUAGGCUAAAUUACAUAAAACCCCCUAUCAAAAUCCGAUUUUUCACUUUCCCCUUCUCAUUUAAAAACCUACACUUUGCCCCCUUGUAAAAUGAAAAAUGUUCACUUCGCCACCUGCCGUUAGUAAUCCGUUAGGGUUCCGUUUAUAAAAUAUUAUUAUAUAUUUUUUAUGUCAAAAAUGCUAUCAGCCUUCUCUUUUGUGAAUAUGGUGAGGGGCAAAAUAGUGAGGGGCAAAACGGUCAUCUUAUCAUCACAGUUGACACCAUAUCCCCCUAUAAAUAUUUUUCAUUUUACAAGGGGGCAAAGUGUAGGUUUUUAAAUGACAGGGGGGGAAAGUGAAAAAUCGGGUUUUGAAAGGGGGUUUUUUUUGUAAUUUAGCCUAAAUAUUUUUUAGUUAUUGUUGAUGACUUUACUAGAUACUCUUGGCUUUUUCCCUUAUACUCCAAAUCUGAUGUUUGUGAAAUUUUAUUGAUUUUAAAUUCAAAAUUGAGAAUUUACUUGAUCGAAAAAUCAAAAGCAUUUGCUCCGAUGGAGGUGGAGAAUUUCUAAAUAAUCGUUUCAAAAAUUUUUUACAUGAAAAUGGUAUCUCUCAUCAGCUUUCUUGUCAACAUACACCUGAGCAAAAUGGUACUGCUGAAAGAAAACAUCGCCACAUUAUCGAAACUAGACUUUCUCUUCUUUUUCAUGCCCACAUGCCUUCUAAAUAUUGGGUGGAAGCUUUUCGAAUUGCCGUCUUUCUCAUUAAUAGAAUGCCAUCAAAACGUUUAAAUAAUAUUUCUCCUUGGGAAAAGAUAUUUGCUCGCAAACCUGACUACUCUUUUCUCAAAGUUUUUGGUUGUGCAUGUUAUCCAUGGUUACGCCUUUAUUCUCAUCAUAAGCUAGAAUCUCGAUCAUUAAAAUGUGCUUUUAUUGGUUAUAGUUUAGAUCACAAAGGUUAUCGAUGUCUUGAUCCUUUUACAGGUCAUGUAUAUAUUUCUCGACAUGCAGUUUUUAAUGAAUCUCAGUUCCCUUUUAAUAAUUUAUCUCGGGAAUGUCCUUCUACUCGGUCAUUGGAUAACGUAGAUUUCGAACCAACUGGAGUUCUUCAUGCUUGGCUACCCUUUUCAUCACUUCCUUUCUCACCACCAUCUAUACCCGCCCCAUUACCUAACCACGAAAUUCCGAGUACCUCUACAGGAAUACCAAACCAAUCACCGUUACAACAUCAAAUUUCCUCUACCGCCCAAACUGCACAUGACACUUCCAUAGAACAGUAGCCUACCAAUACCACUUCUACAAAUUCUAAUUCUCAUUCUAUGCAAACUAGAUCUAAGUCAGGUAUUAUCAUGAGAAAGCAACUGUUCACUUUGAAAGCCACUCGCUACCCUUUACCCAAAGUGCUACUUGCCAUUACUACAGAAAUUGAGCCAACUUGUUAUAGUCAAGCUUCUAAAAGUACUAAGUGGAGAGAUGCCAUGACUGCCGAAUUUAAUGCAUUGCAAAAGUGCGGUACAUGGUCUCUUGUCCCUUUUACUCCUGAUAUGAAUGUUGUUGGUUGUCGUUGGGUUUAUCGAAUAAAACAACGAGCUGAUAGUAGUCUUGAAAGAUACAAGACCCGUUUGGUAGCCAAAGGUUAUCAUCAACAACUUGGGGUUGAUUACAGUGAAACCUUUAUUCCUGUUGCCAAGCCUUCCACUAUUCGAGUUGUGCUAACUACUGUCGUUCAUUUUGGGUGGUCCAUAUGUCAGCUAGGUGUUCAUAAUGCCUUUUUGCAUGGUAUUUUACGAGAAGAAGUAUAUAUGCAACAACCCCCCGGUUUUAUUGAUCCUCUUGCUCCAACUCAUGUUUGUAAGCUCCAUAAAUCGAUUUAAGGACUAAAACAAGCACCUUGUGCUUGGUUCGAGUGUUUCACAACAUAUCUACUUGCUUUGGGAUUUCAUGGUGCCGAUGUCAACACUUCUCUUUUCAUCCAUACUUCUCAUAAUGAAAUUCUUAUUCUUUUUAUAUGUGGAUGAUAUCAUUAUUACCGGCAGUAAUUCAACUUCUAUUCACAAUCUUAUUCGUGAACUUGGCACCCAAUUUGCAAUGAAAGAUCUUGGUCCUCUCUAUUACUUUCUUGGUAUCGAGGUACACCGUGAUUCAAAUGGCAUCUUUUUAUCUCAAUCCAAAUACUCCAUUGAUCUUCUUACAAGAGCAUAUAUCGAUAGUGCGAAAGCAUGCACUUCACCAGUUUCUUCUCAUAAGAGGCUCUCCCUCAUUGUAGGCGAUUCUCUUGAUGAUGCAACCUUCUAUCGGAGUAUUGUCGGGGGACUUCAAUAUUUAUCCAUGACGCGACCAGAUUUAGCCUUCUCUGUUAAUCAGGCUUGUCAAUUUAUGCAUGCACCAACUUCUGAACAUUUAAUUGCUGUCAAAAGAAUCCUUCGAUUUCUCAAAGGAACAGUGGACCAUGGACUUUAUAUUGGAAUAGGCGAUCUUAAUUUGCGCGCCUAUUGCGAUGCCGAUUGGGCAGGAGAUCCCGAUGAUCGCCGCUCUACUAGUGGAUUUGGUGUUUUUCUUGGUCCGUGUUUAGAAUCUUUGUCACACCCCGAGACCCGCGUAUUUUGUCGAAUUCGAGCCCACUAACAGACCGCCGAACGGACAGAAUUUUUCCUGUACGUCCUAGGCGUUGCAAUCAAUACAAUUUGCGAGGUUCCAACCAGAAACAUAUUUCAAGCAAGGAUUGCAUAAGGAAGUAUCAAAAACAUAAAACAACUAAGCUAUAACAAGCAUUCACAUCACAUGCUUUUUACAUAUUACAUUUUCGUUUUCUUUUCUUCCAAAUACAAUCAAUAUUAUUACAACAUUGUAUUCUUCUUUUCUACAACCCCUAGUGUCACGCCCUGGACUUCAGCAGAAGCUCACCAGUCGCGUGCACAGAUCCGCCGUGUACAUCACAACCACAAGUAUACACCAGACGUCUACAAUUCACAUAGUAAAAGCAUUCGAUUCUAACCAGGUAAUCAGAGCAUAACUUACUAAUAUAGUUUAAUAAACUCAUACAACACAAAACCUUAUUACAACUGAAAUGUAAAGUACAUUCUACAUAAGUCUCAUAUACAACAUGGUGCUAAACCAAAAUAAACUAAUCGAGGUUCAUCUAUGUAACAUCGAGAAAGCUCUAAUUAGCCGCUAACCCCUCGCCACGAACCCUAGCCUUUCCCGCUGUGGAAGGCUCUGUAAAAACAACAACAAAGAGGGUGUGAGAACUAUUAAACAAUAGUUCCCAGUGGGUAAGCCGCCGAGAGUGGCGAAGUACACCACUAGGUCAACUGAGGCAUAAGUAUGUAGCAGUAAGUAAGCACAGUAAAUGCAGUAAUAAAAGAAACAGUUCAAUCAUAUUAUGCCUCCACAAGAUAUGUCUUAACAAGUUUAUUUUUCCGUUCAUAUGAAUGAAUGUUUUAGUCAUGCUAUAUGCAGAAUAUCGUUAUGUUUACUAACUAAUGACAUCAUGUAGCUAUAGCUAUCUUCUAUACUGACAAGAGUAUAUACAUUCAAAUACUGUUGCAAUACUACUAAUUAGCAGAGAUGUCAAUUCUUUGGUAUGUUUACUACUAGAUAGACUUAACUAAUGACAUAAAGUAUCCUUACUACUAUGUCCAUCUAAGGUUAAGGCAAUUUAUAAUAACCCAAUUCACAGUAGAUUUACACAUGGUAAAGUCAAAGCUGCGCUGUGCCUAAUGGCCCCGUGGAAGUCAACACUACCCACAGCAAUCCACUUCGGCGCUUAAAUUCGUACAUAAGCGAGCAAUCUGUCGCUAAGCUACUCCGGAGUGCUGGCUUGGGGGGCGCGACCCCCACAAGCGUGUGCGAAAGAGCAUAAUGGCAUGCAAGCUGUAAUCCAUAGCACGAGUAUCACAAUCUCAUCAUGUCUCAGACAUGGAAGCUCAACUCGACCCAAAGUCGACACUGUAGUACUCAAUUGUAGGCCACUAUCAACUACUUGUUGACAUACUUUUACCACUAGCUAGUAUAACUUAAACUAGUAUAUACUUUACAUCAUAAUGGUUAUACCCACACAUACUCAUAUAAAGUCCUCUCACUACUCCCUAUACAUAAGGAAAGUGGUUUUCUAAAGUUAUGUCCAACGACUCGUGGCACAUAGUUUAUAGUUCAAUAUAAUCCUUUUCUACUUGAGAUGACCAGGAAAUAUAUAGUUGUUCUACUUGAUCAUGCAAGUAAAUUCUCAUAUCCAUUUCUAAUUCUUUACUAGAUUGCAUUCAAUAAAAUAACAAUUAAGGUAUAUCAUAAUGCCAACUUCUAGUUACUUAACUAGAACAAACAAUAUAGCAUGAAGUUAAGCAAGUUCUAUCCUGUAAAAGUGAAACCAACAGUUUAACAUAAGUGGGUACAAUAUUCCAAAAAAUACUCUUCAUAUGAUCUUGUAUAAGUCAUUCUAUAAUACCGAUAUAUACUCAAGUAAGUUCAUUCCGCAUGGUAUGCUAGAGGUUCAAGCAUCAUAUUUACAAUAGGAACUAGCAUGAUUUAGCUUGGAGGUUAAACCAAUUUACCCGGUUCACUUAGUUAUACAUUCAACUAAGUACUAUUUUCCUGGCUUUAAUUCGAUGCACCAGUAAGUGAUAUCUCUCUUUACUUAUAUACGCUAGUACAUUAACAUCAGAUAAUACAUGCUAGACUAGCGAGUAAUCUCUAAAUGCGAAGCAAUUCCAUAAUUCCUCCCUACUAUAUAGAGAUUCUCGUUUAGUUGACAUGCUAUGCAGAUUUGCACGUGUCCAACACAUUCAAAUACACAUAUAUUCAUUUGAAUAUGCAACCAUUUCAUUUUAUAAUGUCAAGAAGACAUAGAGGGAAUUCACCUAUUUCGGGAAGGUCCGACCCACCUAAUUGCUGUCGACUCUUGUUGAUCCCACAAGUGAAGACCAUCCGAAGCUUCUAAGUAUCUUAGCAAUCAUAUUACUCAAGUUAGAACCCUGCUUUCACCUUUACCAAAUAUCUUACAAAUACAUCUCAAUUAGGUAGAAUUAUACCUAAUAUGAAGUCCAGUCUCAACUUCCCUCGAAAUCAGGUUGAAAUAUACUUGUUCACGCUUCUCAAAAAUUGGUAACUUCAACUUAGAGUAGCCGACUUCCUGCAGUGAACCUGCUGCGAGUUAACUUUAAAAACUGCCUCAACACUACAAUCAACACAUCCAAACUAUAAGGAGUUGGAUCGCUCAUCUUACACAGCUUCAUCUGAAGCUAAAGCAUAUUAAAACCAGUCCACCAGGGUCACCAAAACAUAACUAUAAGGUCCAAAUACCUUGCUGUGAUCAAGUACCAAAAUCAACAUUGAUACCUCUACAUAACACAUAAUAUAAGCUAAAAUCUCACUUAUUUAGAUUCCCGACUUAUAAUUCCACUUCCUACUGGUUGAAGUACUCUCAAACGAGCUCACAGGGUCAAGAUAUUCAGCUCAAAAUGAUUCUCAAGGCUGCUACAAUCAUAUACCAAAAACAAUUUCAAUACUUCACCAAUACUUAAUUUAGCAUCAACAUAGGGCAAUCAAUUAAUUACUCACCUCUUCCAAGUUUCAAUCUAACUUCCCCUGGUUUCGAAUUGUAGGACCUCAGCUAAUACCAGCUUCAAAAGUUACUCGAAACUCAGUUACCAAAUUCACAUGUUCUGCUGUGAACAACGCCAAUACGACGUCAAGACUAUCACUAAUUUCAGCAUCUAAGUAGGAAAGAAUGGCUGAUUAAUUACCUUCCAACUCAAUUCAGCUUAUUCUCGGUUUAAGGCUGAAGAAUCACAGCAAAUAGCUUCUCUAAAGCUGUUAAACCCCCCCGCCCCAAACCUGCUUGCAGCAAGGAGAACUAAAACAACUCAACAUAACUACUUAGCCUCAAACUAUGGAAAGGUUAGAUCAAAAACCUUUCUAUAUAUCCUCCUCAGCAAAUCUGAGUUUUAAGGUUGACGAAUUGCUGCUAAAACACUCUUUCCAUUGGCAGGAGCUGCCCCAAUCCUUCUUACACCAGCAAGCAUCAAGAUGGAGAUGAAAUCAAGUCAAACCCUUGAUUUCUACUUAGAGAGAGGAACCCUAGAGAGAGAAAGAAAGGAGAGGGUUUAAACCCUGUUCUCAGAGCUCCAGCACACUCUAAGCUGCUGCAAGGAUCGAGCUGGGGAAUAAAAGGCUAAUCUCAAAGGUGAAAUGACCAAAGCAGCCUCAAUCCACACAGCUGCUGUGAUGUGUACUGGUACACGUGCGAUGCUGUACCGGUACACUAUGCAAAAUCCUGCAUUUCGAAAUUCCAAUGCACUUUCGAUCUUCUGGCUGUUCGAUCACUCUUUUAACUCGUCAAAAAUCUUAUUACCACUCUUUAAAAGAUGUAGGUUAGCUCCCAUUGCCAAUUCCAUUCUUCAAACUUCAUAAUUGGCCAAAUUCGGAGUUCUACAUUUGAAAAGUGCAUUUACAAUGCACUUUUCCACUUCCAGCUAUCUGUUUGUUCCAGUAACUUGCUGAUACUUCGCGACAGUCCUUCAAAAGUUGCAGAAUAGUUUCAAUUUCUAUUCGAACACCCGAACUUCGCAAUUUGCCAAAGUUCAGUGUAUUACACCUAGCUAGGCCGACUCGGGGUAAUGCUAUCUCUGGUCUCUGUGGUAGGGUGUUAUCUACGAAGCUACGCCCUUUCCUCGCGCCGCUGCGCUGCUCGCGUGCGAAUCUAAAACCCCAAAACCACGUGGGGUGAGAACUAUUGUCCAUAGUUCCCAGUGGGUACGGCCAUCCCAGGGAAGAGCUCGACCCACCAGGUCCGAAGGAGGUACUGCAACAUGUUAGUCCAACAAACAUCCACAGAUAUAUAUAUAUAUAUAUAUAUAUAUAUAUAUAUAUAUAUAUAUAUAUAUAUAUAUAUAUAUAUAUAUAUAUAUAUAUAUAUGCAAGUACUAAAAUACAUGUUAUGCCUCUCAACAUGCAACAAUGCAAAUCAUGCAACAAUGCAAAUCAUGCAAUAAGCUAAGUAGAUCAACCGAUUCUACUUUCAAUCUUGCUAUUCAUAGCUUAUACAAUUGACAUCUAAGGUUUUCUCUAUCUUAGAUUCAUGUCAUUUACAAUUCUACUCAUAAGGUUCCAUUUACCUUUAUCAAGCUAUCCACUCGACUCGGUCUUGAGUUAAUCAUCCGCGGAAUAUCGUGUAAAGUCAGGCUCGAGGUGAAGGACGUCUCACAUUCACCUCGGCCUUAAAUCCACUUAACUGGGACUCCGAAUCCACUCUACUGGGAUUCAACUACAGCUCACAUGCUUGUCACCCAAUCUGCUUGGCUAACCCGAAGGUUACGCCUCGACUCACUUUGAAAAUCUCAUAGGUGAGGAGAAUCUGCACUCGCGCACCGAGACCGUCUGCGGGACAACUACGUCUCCCCCUAUCGUGAAGUACUCUGGAGACCACUGCUUGGGUGGAGCGACCACGCCAAGUAAAAACAAACUAUGUGAGUAUGAUCCAAUCCUCUCAUCGAGGAUACCCUAUCUACUAGGAUUAACAACGACAUGGGAAACCCACUAAUCCCAACAACAAUGUCACAAGUGUCUCUACUACACUAGUUUCACGUGGCACAUAUCCACGACUUAGGAAAUCAUCUAUCCCUAUAUUCAUGUCAUAGUGUCUCUACUACACUAAUCCAAAUGCCACUCAAUCUACUUGACAUUGUACUUGUCCACAUCAAGUAUUAUAGUUUUCAUGUUCUUGUUUUCUAAUAUCGAACUCUCUAAUCGACCAAGUUCAACAUGCAUAGUUUAUCUACUAUGAUCCACAAUAGGGCAACAUGCAUAGUUCAUCCAACAUAAUCUACAAUAUGUCAACAUGCAUGUUUUAUCUGACAUAUUCCAAUGGUAGGCAACAUCCUUCAACAUAAUAUAAUUCAUGCACUCAUCUAGCAAUUAUAUUAUGCAUUCAUCUAGCAUCUAUAUGUAAUACACUGAACUUUUGCAAAUUGCGGAGUUCGAGUAUGUGGAAUGGUGUGUGGAUCACUCCUACAUGUUCUAAAAGGUUAGAACAAGUUUUUGGACAAGUUAGAGGAUGAUUGGAAUGCUAAAAGUGAGAAAACGCAUUGAACUGGCGAAAUCAGCCUUUUCUGCUUGCUGUACCGGUACAGCCGCUAUGGUGUACCGGUACACAGUGGCAAUUCGUGGAAGCAAGGCUAUUUUGGUAAUUUCACCUUCUAAUCCCUAUCUAUAACCCCCAGCACNAAACCUUUUAGACCAGGGAUAAGCUACUUUAAAGCUUAAUUGGAAGAUUUAGCCAUUUAAGAAGCGAAAAUCGGAACUUAAUGCACUAAGUUGUGCGAAUUGAUGCAAAUUGGAAUUUUUCUUCGCAGCAGGUCUUCGAGCUUCGUUGAGCUGAAAUUGUGCUCUUAGAAGCUAGUUUGGAAGGUGUUCUAACCAAGGGUAAGCAGGAAUUUCUGUUAGAAAUCCAGUUUCGCAAGAAUUGAACCAUAUAAGCGUGUAUACAUACAUUUUGACGUCGUUUUGGUAUUGUUCGCAGCGAGAUCGCGAUCGAGCCUUGGAUCGUCUUCGAUUGCCUUGUGAGGACUCUUGGAGGUUACACUUGAGGUAUUUCACUAGCCCAAACAAGGAUUUACGGGAUUACUUUGUGUGAAGUGUAAUUUAGGCCGAAAUCGGAUAUUCCGGUCGUAAUUUUGACGCGGUAUUGAUGUUUGUGUUCAGCAGGUUUGAGACCUAGUGGAGCUGAUCUUUGGAACUUUUUGUGACUAUUGGAGCUUAGUACUAGGUGGGUCGGACCUAACCAGAGCAAGUGAAGCUCCUCUAUGUUCUAUAUGUAUUAUAGAAAUAUGUUAGUUGUGUGCUUAUGUGAUAGCUAAAGGGCUUGAGAAUUCGUCAUCAUAACAUUUACUAUAUUGACAUAGAAUCUCUAUGAAGUAGAGAAUUCUCAUGCCUAAAUGUAUUCAUAUUCCUAUUUGGUUUAGUUGAAUAACAAUGAGACACGUUAUUAUGCUCAUGAAACGUAGAGAACAGUGGCAUUCUCUUUUUACUCGCUUGAUUACAAGUAGAGAACAAUGACAUUCUCUUGACUCUGAAGUAGAGAACUAUGACAUGCUUGUGCCUAUGUUGAUAGUGCCAUGAUAGUGAAAGAUUCUAAUGCCAUAUGUAAAUUAGCAUUACUCCUGCAUGCCUACUAAACUAGUGGAUUCUAGUUGUUGUUAAUAUUUGUUAUACUGAAAUGUCGAUCAAAGGAUCGAGAGCGAGAACGCUGCAAAUGAAAACAUGAGAAUUGAGACAUGUGGACAGUGAAAUAUGCUUGCUUGCCAUCGUGCUCAUUCGCACACGCUUGUGAGGGUCGCUCCCUACAAGCCGGCACUCCGGAGUUGGCCUACGCGACAGUUGCUCGCCCGUGCGGGAUUGGGUGCCGAAGUGGAUUGCCGUGGGGAGUGUAUACUACCACGGGGCCAUUAGGCGCGGCGCAAGCUGGACUACCUUGGGUAGGUCCCUGUGAAUGAAAGGAUAGUACUCAAUGAAAAAGGACAGUAAUGAAUGCUUAUGAAUUAAAGUGUACAGUAGUCACUUUCAUGUUCGUGCUUAUAUUCAUGUCUAUGUUCAUGAUUACAGAAAUUGCCAUAUCCCUAUUAUGUAAAUGAUUCAUUACUGUAGAAUGCCAUCACAUGUUGAUUACAUGCUUAUUACUUGUUAGCAUCAUGCUUAUAAACCAUGCAAUUAUUGUUUUUUGCUUUCAAUUAGUACAUCAUGAGCCUAGUGGUGUAAUUCGCCGAGGCUGGCGGCUUACUCACUGGGAACUAUUGUUAAUAGUUCUCACGCCCUUUUUGGUGGUUGUUUUUACAGAGCUAUCUACAGGAGAGGCUAGGGAUCGUGGCAAGGGAGUCGCGCCUAGCUAGGCACUACUAGGAGCGUGCUAGUCGAUCACCUUGUUACUCGGGCUACGGCCGAGGGUGAUGUCCAUUAUAUAGAGUGACCACCAUUGUACCUAUUUUUGUAUACCCUGUGUUGUAUAUGAGUUGAUGAUCCAGAUGUUAUAGUUCUUACUUCUUCUCCUUUUGUUGAGAUCUUGGAUUGUAUACUCUCUUUGUUUUUACUGAUACUAUAUAUCGACUUGUACAUUGCUCUGAUAUCAGGAUAGGAUUUUCUUUGCUUUACUUCCUAUCGAUUUGCUUUCUUCGUAGACGCCUUAUAUACUGCAGGUGUAUGGCGGGUCUGUGCACGUGCCGGAUAUGCUUCCGCUGGUACCCGGGCGUGACACUAUAUCAUGCAUCAUAUUAUCAUUUGCAACCUACCAAAUAUACAUAUAUGCAUCAAUGAUAAAACCGUAUUCCACUUCGACAUAGAAGCGAGUUAAUAACUUCGGUGAGCACAACCCACCUCGCAACGCUCUCCGAUUGCUUUCGACACUUGCAAUUGGCCUCCCGCAGCACACAAUAUUCGGUUCGGCUCGAAUCCGCAAUCGAUCACCGAACGCCCGCUAAUCCGCGACCUAGGGUCACCGAUGGCUCAUCUCUAACCUUCAAUUAGAGAACAAUAGGGUUUAAUUAGAUUAAAACCCUAUAAUUUUCAAACCCUCAUUUUAAGCCCUAGCAUGAAAUUAACCUCCAAAUAUUCUAAAAUUAAAUAGAGCGACAUGCUAGAAACACUCUAGAGACUACUAGAACACUAAGCAUUAAGGAUUAAAUCGAAUCCUAAACACUUACCGAAAUUGUGAACACCGAGUCAAAAGCACGCCGCUCAACCGGGCGCACGAAGACUUGAUCCGUCGCUUCCAACGCAUUCAUAAGCUCGCUCUCUGCCAAUGCCGCGAAUUUGAGAGAGAGAUUUAGAGAGAUGAGAGAGAUAUUUAGAGAGAGAAAGUGUCACACCCCGAGCCCUGCCUAUUUGGUCAGGUUCGGGCACGCCGACAGAUCGCCGAACGGACAGGGUUUCCCCUGUACUGUGAACAGAGUCUCCCCUGUACGUUCAAGGCAUCACAAUCAAUACAAUACGAAGGUUCCAAACAGAAACAGUAUUCAACAUACAACGAUUGUAUAAGGAAGGUAUCAAACAACAUAAACACAUCCUAUGUUAUUGUUAGAAAAUUGCGUACGGUAAAAACGCAGCGGAAAAAAAAAUCAAACAAAUUUGAUUUUUGAAAACUCUCGAGAUCCAAUCUCAAAAACCACGUAAUUAGGAUCCCUCAUGUUUUAAGAUUAAAGAAGAAAAACAAGAUCGAAUCUUUACCUUUUUCGCGGAUAGAUCUUCCUUGUUAAAUUUGAUGAUCGUGGAAUUCGGUUCUCUUGAAGCCGCACACGCGUCCGGCCUCUAUAGGUAUCCACACGAGGUUCUUGAUUUGAUCGAUGUCCUCACCGGGGUGCUAGCUCCCUUGCAAUAGGACGUCUUUCUUGCUAGAAGAUGGAAGAGAGAAGAGAUGAUAGAUGACGGCUAGGGUUUUCUAAAAACCCCCGUAUAUUAUAUAUAGGAAUAUAAUCCUAUUCCUAAUAAUAUAAUGACAAUUAAGGAUAAGUAUAAAUCUAGAUUUAAAUUUAUCUUUUCCUUAAUUGGUUAGAUCGAUCAAAUCCUAAUUUGAUUCGACUUGAAUUUUAUAUUAAUUUGAUCUUAUCAAAUUAAUAAUGCAACAUUUGCACAUAAGUCCUCUUAUAAUUUACUAACCAUUAGUAAGUCCUCUCUUGUAACAUUUACACCUUAAUACCACUAAUUUGUAACAAUUACAAAUUAGUCCAAUUAUCAUUAUAUUGACAAUUAGGUCCUCCGACGAUUCAAUAAUCACGAUCUAGCUAUUCGAUCAAUUACAACCUCUUAUGUGUGUGACCCCAUAGGUUCUAUUCUAUCUGGUAGUGAGAUAUAUUUUGAUCACUAUCAACAAUAUCACUGAAACUCCUUUCAAUGGUUUAGAACAAUUCCAACUCAGCCCAAUGAGAAUUAUCGAUCAUCUAGAUAAUUCUCAUGAGUCUCACAAUCCACCAGUGACGCCUAGCAGCAUGUAGUGGCAUUUCAUAGAAUGAAUAAUGAACCUCUUGGUGGCAGUCCCGUGUGAUACAAUCCUUCUAUCAAUCGAGUCCCGAUAGACGGCAGGCUAUGGAAUAACCGUCAAACCCCAAUGUCUGUCAUAUUUAAAUUUAACGACUUCCGAGUUUUAAUAUCAGAAACACCUUUUUCCCGCUAUUUAUUCUGCCACAAUGAGCCAGGUCUUCUAAACUCCGGUCUCAUAAAUCACAUAUAGAUCAACACCCCUAUACUAUACCAAGGGAGAUAGAUUCCAUCUAAGUGCGCACCCUAUUUUUACAAUGAACCUACUAGCUCAACCAUGGCACCGAAGGACCGAAUGGCCUAGGACCAAGUGUAUGUACAGUCAAACUACGACCUCAUUGUGAAUAGCCGAGGCACCCGCAGGUCAAACGCAGUCACAGCUUAUGCAACACAUGGAAAGUCACUGAGAUGAGUAACUCCAGUGACUUUCCCGUUGGUCCUGCUGUACCUUGUUCUCUAACAACCACUGUAUAUUCGCUUUAGUGUCCCCAACACUGUCGACUCGAGACUCUCCUACCAGAAAUGGGAAGGACCUAUGCACCAAUCCUACCGGAUCAAUCACGCAGUCCCGUGAUGAUCCAUUAUCGGAGCAUUUAGAAAUUAACCACAACAUGGCACAUGUCUCAAAUCUCAAACUUGAAAUAAUUUAAUCAUCUUAUUAAUUAUUGACGAUCAUGGACACAUACACAACAUGAAUGAAGAAUAAAAACGCAUAAGACUAAUUCUAAUAUUUUAAAAGUCAAAUACAAAUUUAUGUCUAGAAAAGAAUAUAUGUGUCGGCCUGGUUGCCUUCUAGGGGCAUACAUCUAACAAUACUCCCCAUUGCCACUAAAGCCCAAUUAAAGCCUUAUUACCUAAGCCCCAUCUUCCUCAAGUUGGACUUCAGUCUCUGUUGGCUAAGUGUUUAAGUCCAAUGGCUCUGCCACGUUAUCCGUGGAGUCUAUCUCCUGCAUCUCGAUAUAUCUUCUAUCGCAAGGUAGUCCGCGUAUAACUAUGAAACCACGCUCUUAUAUGCUUGGAUCUUGAUGAACUUGGGCUCCUUAGCUAGGGCUAUCCGCCAUUUUUGUCGCCAUAGAAGUGUAGGCCAUCUGAUGACAUACACAUCUAAUUCGCUACAAACUUCAUGAAUCAGAAGGCCUACAUCAAAUGCGGCAUAUACUUCGCUUCAUGGUUAGGGGUUAGUUUUUUGGAACUCUCCAUACACUUAAAUACACUAUCGGCAUAAGAAACAACAUCCUUGACGUACUCCUUCUUAUCGUCAACAUCACGACAUAAAGUCUGAAUCAGUGAAUCUUGUACUUUCAACAUCUUUUUUCUCCAAAGAUGAAAGGAAGCAAUCCUUAGUGCUUCCCAAGUUACUUGAAGUAUAGUUCUUCCAGCAACUUCCAUGCUCAGCGCCUGGAUUAGAUUGAUAUCUGCUGUGACACUCACACACCAAUCCCGAUAUCCAUAUCGUGUACGACAGCAUAGGUCUAUAAAGACUCCUAUAGCGAGGCAUAAGGGAUUUAUCAUACAUGAAUCUCUUCAAUGUAUUGGGCAACAAUUUUCUAAAGAGAUAAAUUCAUGUCUAAGAGGUAAAAGAGUCCUCUUUUUGGAGUUUUCCAUGCCGAACGCUCUUCAGCACCUCCUCUAUGUACAUUUUCUGUAAAGGCUACAUUCCUUUUAGAUCUAUCUCUAUAGAACUUAUCCCCAAACAUAGGAUGCUAUCCCCUAAAAAAUCUUUAUGAGAAAAAGAAUUUUUUUAGACACACCACAUUUACACUUAUCAGCAUUGCGAAUGUCAUACCCAAUAGCGAGAAGUCAUCCACGUAUCAUAUACGAGGAUGUGACAGCUCUCAUCCACUUGACCUUCUAUAAACACAUGCGUUCCUCCUCAUUCUUUACGAAAUCAAACGAUUUAAUCACGUUAUCCGAAUCGAGUAAUUCCAAGUCCGAGAUGCUUGCUUAAGUCCAUAAAUGGACCGUUGACACUUGCAUCUACUUUGUGACUUUGUCACGGAAGUUGAAAAACCAGCUAGGCUGCUCCAUAUAAGAUAUCUUCCUCAGAUAUUCCAUUUAGGAAGGCACGUUUUCACAUCUCAUCUUGCCAGAUUCUCAUUAUCAUAGUAUGCUGCACAGGGCAAGCAGUGUUUCGAAUGGAUUUACCGAUGGCCACAGGAAAAAGAUCUCCUGAUAGUCAAGCUUGUGCGUUGAUUAACUUUCGCAACCCACCUUGCCUUUAUAGGUCUCUCCUUUCCAUCCGAAGCCUACUUCUUUUGUAGAUCCAUUCUACAGUCCGAUAGGUACUAUACUUCUCGGUAGGUCUACAAAUCAAACAUGGUGGAAUGAUAGAAUCAAUUCUUCAUGAUUCUUCUCAUAGCAUCCAGCUAUUUCUCGAAUACGAUGUCAGACAUCCGCUCGUUGUAGGUUUGGGAUCAUCUCCAUGUUUCCUAUUUCCCAUCAGAGAAUAUUUCCUCUACUUCUCUGUAGCACGAUACCUAAGUAUCUUUAGGUGGAUGGGAGAAUUCUACUCACCUACGAGUGGAGGAGGUUACUAAUGUAUCUGCUCAGCUUGAAUAGUGUCUGUAGGUUGCAUGACUCGUUGCUCUUCUAAGAGACUCUCGUUUCUCGAGCUCAAUUUUUCUCUCACUAGCUUCUGAAUAAACUGUUUUCAAGAAAAAGCAUUGUUUGCUCACACUACAUUGUGAUUCUCUGGAUAAUAAAAAUGGUAACCAUCUAAGUUUCUUAGGAUAUCCAAAUAAAACGAGCCUCCAGACUACCCUAACUGUCCAGCCUGUAUCGCUUAACAUAGGCGAUAUCCGCCCAACACCUCCCUUGAUAUACCACAGGCUUGGUUUCUUACCAUGCCACACUUCACGGCCGUGGUAGAACGAUUUAGAGGGACUCUAUUUAACAAUAAGCGCGGUAAUGCAAAGCAUUCCCAAAGAUAAAUAAAGAAAGAAUCUAGUGAAGCUCAUCCAUAGAUCGACCAUAUCCAAUACAGGUUCGGUUUACUCCGUUUCUGACACCCCGUGAGUUAGGUGUUCCGGAGGAGUCCACUGUGAGACUAUGCCGUUUACCUCAUUUGAGAUUUUAUGAACUCUCCACUAAGGUACUCCUCCUCGAUUUGAUCGAAGAACCUGAUGGAUUUUCAGUUUGUUUUCUACUAUAUUGAAUUCUUUGAACCUUUUCAAAAUCUCAGAUUUGUGUUUCAUCAAGAUACACAUAAGCCAUACCUGUGAAUAAUCAAUCGUAAAUUGUUAUAAGUAGAAUAACUUCCCCUGACAUGCACAUCAAAGGCCCACCCACACAUCAGUGGUAUCAAUGAGUAUCUCAGUGGCCCAUUUCCCUUUCCUACAAAGGUAAUUAGUCCAAUUUUCUUGAAGAUAAGAUUCAUAAACGAUAAGACUCUGAAGUCAAUGGACCGAGAAGUCAAUUUUAUCCAAUUUAUUGAUCUUUCUUCUUCAAAUGAUCAAGCCUGAGGUCCACAUAUACUUUAGGUUCAUCUCAUCUCUAGGUUCUCUAGACCCAACCAGCAGUCACUCUUGUCAGUCUCAGAAUAUUUGUAGAUCUCCAUAUGUAAAAUGUAUAAAAGACUGUCAAUCAUAAAACCACAUGCCAAUUAAUUUUAUUUCUAAAUAAUAUGUCAGUAGUUUUUCGUCAAAAUACAACCAUCCUGUGCAGCAAAUAAAUUUUCUGCUAAGCAGGACGGUACAUAAUCAAGUCUUUACAGUAAUUAAAACAUAUCCUCGCACGGUUAGUUCCAAAGGAUAGGGUGCAGCGCUACAGUACAACUUUCCGCGUCGUGCCCACCCGUAGGGUCACUUCACGCUCCCUAAGCCCUCACUUCUCUUUCUGGAAGUAAGAGGAAAUCUUAGUGUCUAUCUACGGCAAGUCUCGACAUACACUCCGAAGGUGUUCUUCCUCUCUACAAUUUACGCUCUCACAGUCGAAAGGCAGUUCCUUUCGUAAUGACCGUCAUAUUGCAGAUGGAAACAUUUUCUUUAUUCGCGGCUCCUUUCUUCAUGACUUCCUCUUGCGCAUGUUUUCCGUCUUUUUAGUUUCCUUCGCGGUUCUUCUUCCAAUUAGCACUUCUUUAGACAGAGGAAGCUCGCUCCACACACGUGAACGUUCCUUUGAACUUUCAAAAGUUCCCGCCUAUCUAAUUACCAACAUGUUCAAUAACUCUGCGUUUGGUGCAGUCAAGUUUUUUUCAUACUGUAGUUUACAGAUAAACUGUCCAUAUAUACAGGAAGGAUUGCAGGAUCAGAUCAACUUGCAAUUCCUUAUUCCAUUUACGCCAAGCUUCUCUAAGCUCCUCGAAGGACUAUGAUUAUUGUCAGAACAAUGAUCAUCGACGACUGCCCUUCGUUAGUUAUUGGAUCGUUGGCAACCGUGAGGUUUGACCUUGUCGAAACAAUGCAGAGCUAUUGAAUGAAAACUAUUUAAAUUCCUUUGCCCAGUCUUAAAUAUAAUUCAGUUAAGAUUUGCUGGUCGAGCAUACAUAAUGAUAAGGAAAGCAGACAUUUAUUUGGGCAUGAAGUAAAGAUUAAUUAAAUAUUUGUAUUUGUUCUUGAAAAAUUGUUAGAGAUUUAAACAAAUUUAGCCUCCACUCAUUUUCUCGAGUCUCUUACACUCCUGGUAAGAAAGGAAACAAGCACGACAAGAGGUCAAGUGGUUACUGCGGUUCCCACCAAUUUAGACGUAACCACUCAUCCUAACAGUUAUUGUGAUAUGCAAACCGAUGAGUGGACACUCUGUCAAUGCUUCUCAAGCAAAUUGCAGUGAUCGGUCUCUAAGUCCUGUUAGGCCUCAACCUGACACGUUAUUGGCUCCCAUUCCUUAGUUUAAGUCAGACCCACCGUCAAACGCGUACAAAGCCCGUCAUUGGUCCCUCACCUGACAUUAUUGGCCCAACCCCAUUUUACUCGCAGGCAUCUCAUGCGUAAUCAGUGGUUGCGCAAUCCCGAAUGCCCAAGCUGACCACUGAACAGCCUAGCCAAUCAACACCAAGAAAAGCGCCCGCACUUCUCAACGGCGGAAGACCAGCUCGAAUUAAUAUUUAUGAGAGAUUUAUUUAGGUCUCAAAAAAUUAUAUUAUUACAUCUAAUGCUAAAUAAAAUAAAAAAUCAAUCCCGCAACAACAUAAUUAACUAGAUAUGAUCAUGAUCUUAGAAGUGUAUUCGACUCGACCACUGAGUCGAAUCGGGUCUUUAGGGUCAUAAAUAAGACACACACAUCAUUGUUGAUCGUCUUCAACUUCUUGAUGAUCUGAGCUUCAACCUGAUUGAUUCUUAUCAACACUUGAUCUCGACCGCUCCAUCAAGUAUUCAUCUCUAUCCGGGACUGCGAACUUUUAGGCUUGCCAACCGAUCAACCAAGACGGUAACCAUACAUUAUAAACCAAAUAAUAAAAAUGAAAUAAAAAUAAUUACAUUUGAAUACUUUUAUCCUCUAACCUAAUUGAGAACGCAGGCUCGCAAAUAAAAUCCAAACCCACCCCCCCCCCCCCCCCCCCCCCCCGGCUCGUCACGCAGGCACAAAUAUAGGCCACUUCAAUUACAAAAUUCUCAAUUUAACAAUUUAAAAAUACAGAUUCGGGCAUACACAUCAAACAUCACAUGUCUAAACAAAAAUAAAUAGGUUGGUAUCCAUAUCAAUCCCGUAUCUCAUACAUCACCAUGCUAAUAAUAAAUUUGGAUAUUCUAAUUUAAACCGUUAAACCGAUGAUUGCCGAAAGAAUAAAUUAUAAAAAUAAUCAAUCUAUUGAAUUACUUAUAAUUUUGAUCAACAAUUUAAUCUACAAUAAAACAUUUAAUGCCAUCAAGAAAUCAAUUUGAUCUAAUCAAGAUUAGAUUUUUUUCAUUAUCUUAUAUUUUCAAUCUAAAUCAACCUUUUAAAAAAAAAAUUUAAAAUUUUAAAAAACAUUUUCGUCGUAAAGAUGCUACAGUAGAAUCGGCUACAGUAACUUUUUUUUUUUUUUUGAAAAUAGAGAACCAUCGUUAAUAUUGUUAAUCACUUUGAUCUUUCGAAUUUUCCAAACAACGUCUAAUAAAUCGUUUUCUCGGCAGAAAUACGGUUUAAAUACCCAAAAAAUCAUAAUUUUUCAUAUACUUAAAACAGAGGAUUGGCCUCUGAUACCCACACUGUUAGAAAAUUGUCGUACGGUAAAAACGCAGCGGAAAAAAAAAAAGAAUAAUCAAAUCAAAUUUGAUUUUUGAAACUCUCGAGAUCCAAUCUCAAAAAGCACCGCAAUUAGGAUCCCUGUCAUGUUUUAAGAUUACAGAAGAAAAAACAUAUAAAAUGAUCGAAUUCUUACCUUUUCGCGAGUAGAUCUUCCUUUAAAUUGAUGAUCGUGAAAUUCGUUCCUUGAACCGCACACGUGCGUCCGGCGUCUAUAGGUAUCACACACAGUUUCUGAUUUGAUCGAUGUCCUCACCGGGGUGCUAGCUCCCUUGGGCAAUAGGCACGUCUUUCUUGCUAGAAUAUGGAAGAGAAAAGAAAUCGAUAGAUGACGGACUAAGGGUUUCUCCGAAAACUCCCGUAUAUUAUAUAUAGGAAUAUAAUCCUAUUCCUAGAUAUUAUAAUGACAAUUAAGGAUAGUAUAAAUCCUAGAUUUAAAUUUACUCUUCCCUUAGAUUGGUUAGAUCGAUCAAUCCUAAUUAUUCGAUUGAAAUCUUUAAUAUAAUUUGAUGCUUAAAUUAAUAAUGCAAACAUUUGCACCAUAAGUCCUCUUGGAUAAUACUAACCAUUAGUAGUCCUCUCUGUAACAUUUAACACCUUAAUACCACUAAAUUUGUAAUCAAUACAAAUUAUCCAAUUACAUUAUAUUGGACAAUUAGGUCGCUCCGCGAUUCAAUAUCGCGAGUCUUAGCUAUUCGAGUCAAUUACAACCUCUAUGUGUGUGACCAAGGUCUAUUCUACUCUGGUAGUCGAGAUAUAUUUGAUCACUAUCACCAUAUCACGAACUGCCUUUAAUGGUUAAGAACAAUUCCAACUCAGCCCAAUAGACAUUAUCGAUCAUACAGAUAAUCUCAGACGUCUCACAUCCACCAGUGACAGCCUACCCACAUGUCAGUGGCAUUCCAGUAGGGAAUGGAAUAAUGAACCUCUUGUGCAUUAUCGGUGUGAUACAAUCCUUCUAAUCAAUGCAGUCCCGACUAGACGGAGGCUAUGGAAUAAUCGUCAACCCCCAUCGUCUGUCAUAUGUUAAAUAUUCGACAUCGAAGUUCUAAUAUCGAAACCCUUUCCGCUAAUUUAUUCUGGCCCUGGCCAAAAAGGUCUUCUAAACUCGGUCUCAUAAUCACUAGACUAACCGCCCUAUCUACAAGAGAUAGAUUCCAUCUAAGCUGGACAUCCUAUUUCCCGGCUGACAAUGGAACCUACUGUAAGCCAACAUGCACGCGCAAGGACCGCGAAUGGCUAGGACAAGUGUAUGUACAGUCAACUACAGUAACCAUUGUGAAUAGCCGAGGCACCUGCAGGUCAAAGGACCAGUCACACUACGCAAUACAAUUGAGUAAGCUGACCAGAUGUGAGUAGAAUACAUCAAGUGACGCUUUCCCGCGUUGGUCACGCGUCGCUACCUUGUUCUCUAACAACCACGCUGGAUAUUCGCUCUAGUGUCCCCACACAUGUCGACUCAUGAGCUCGUCUACACCAGAAAGGGAACGCGACCUAUCACGCAAUCUCACCGGAUCAAUCACCGUCCCCGUGAUGACAUUGAUCGGCCGAGCAUAUUAGAAAUUACCCCAAUCCGCACAUUCUCAAAUUUCUCAACACAUUGAGAUAUAUGUCAUCACUUAUUAAAUUCCUUGGACGAUUCAUGACCACAUACACAACAUGAAAAAAUAUAAACAGAAAGAUAUUCAUAAUAUUUAAAAGUCAAAUACAAAUUUAUGUCCUAGAAAGAAUAUAUGUGUCGGCCUGGUUGGCUUAUAGGGCAUACAUCUAACAGUUAUUACAUUCAUUCAUAUUCAUGCAUUUUACAUCUCAACUACUAUUCCUUUUUCAUCUAAAUGCAAUCUAAGUUAUUACAACAUUUAUAUCUUUAAUACAUUAUGUUACAUUGUGUUGUUUUUAUUUCUUUAACCCCUAAGCUAUGUCGACGGGGUACUGCUUGCUCUGGUCUCUGGGGUAGGGCGCCAUCUACGGAGCUACGCCCUUUCCUCGCGCCGCCGCGCCGCUCACGUGCGAACCUGUAAACACCCCAAAACAACGUGGGGUGAGAACCAAAUCCAUGGUUCCCAGUGGGUACGGCCACCCAAGGGAAAAGCUCGGCCAUCAGGUUCAAAGGAGGCAACUGUAGGUUAGUUUAAUAAACAGAUAGAUAGAUAUUUUGACUAUGCAAGUAAUAGAACCAUACCUUGUGUAGUAUCCUUAUAUAUAUAUAUAUAUAUAUAUAUAUAUAUAUAUAUGGAUGCUGCCACGUACCCCAUGCAUGCAUGCUUAUCCACUUCUCAGCUUGAGGGUGCUCUAAUUAAAAUUUGCUUUAUCUCUUUAAUGUGAAGUAGAGAGCCACACGAGGUGGAGCUCAGGGGAGUAGCCGCGGAGCUCGGAUUCAAUGUCGACGUCGCGCCGUAGAGCCGUUCGAGGAUACGGUUGCAGUCGUAGCAUCGUGAGGAGUUCGAGCGAGGGCGUGAUUUUCGCCGUCCUCGACGUCGCACCGGUGCUGGAUUCGCUGUCGAGGUGGGUACCUAACUUUCCUCCUUGGAUUACUUGAACGCACGGUUUUGAGCUCGCAUGCUGAUUUUCAGCGUCGACCGUCAGUGUUUCGGCUCGUACUCGGCGUAGGAACGUCGGAUUUCGACGGGACUUGGUUCAUUGGAUUCAGGACUUCGAGAGGAAUAAAAAUCCCAAAUCACUGGAAAAACGAGGGGUGUGCCAGCUCAAGUUCGAUCGCCUAACACAUCGCACCGAUAACUCAACUCAAAUUCUGUCCGAACACAGCAGGCAGAGGAGAACNNNNNNNNNNNNNNNNNNNNNNNNNNNNNNNNNNNNNNNNNNNNNNNNNNNNNNNNNNNNNNNNNNNNNNNNNNNNNNNNNNNNNNNNNNNNNNNNNNNNNNNNNNNNNNNNNNNNNNNNNNNNNNNNNNNNNNNNNNNNNNNNNNNNNNNNNNNNNNNNNNNNNNNNNNNNNNNNNNNNNNNNNNNNNNNNNNNNNNNNNNNNNNNNNNNNNNNNNNNNNNNNNNNNNNNNNNNNNNNNNNNNNNNNNNNNNNNNNNNNNNNNNNNNNNNNNNNNNNNNNNNNNNNNNNNNNNNNNNNNNNNNNNNNNNNNNNNNNNNNNNNNNNNNNNNNNNNNNNNNNNNNNNNNNNNNNNNNNNNNNNNNNNNNNNNNNNNNNNNNNNNNNNNNNNNNNNNNNNNNNNNNNNNNNNNNNNNNNNNNNNNNNNNNNNNNNNNNNNNNNNNNNNNNNNNNNNNNNNNNNNNNNNNNNNNNNNNNNNNNNNNNNNNNNNNNNNNNNNNNNNNNNNNNNNNNNNNNNNNNNNNNNNNNNNNNNNNNNNNNNNNNNNNNNNNNNNNNNNNNNNNNNNNNNNNNNNNNNNNNNNNNNNNNNNNNNNNNNNNNNNNNNNNNNNNNNNNNNNNNNNNNNNNNNNNNNNNNNNNNNNNNNNNNNNNNNNNNNNNNNNNNNNNNNNNNNNNNNNNNNNNNNNNNNNNNNNNNNNNNNNNNNNNNNNNNNNNNNNNNNNNNNNNNNNNNNNNNNNNNNNNNNNNNNNNNNNNNNNNNNNNNNNNNNNNNNNNNNNNNNNNNNNNNNNNNNNNNNNNNNNNNNNNNNNNNNNNNNNNNNNNNNNNNNNNNNNNNNNNNNNNNNNNNNNNNNNNNNNNNNNNNNNNNNNNNNNNNNNNNNNNNNNNNNNNNNNNNNNNNNNNNNNNNNNNNNNNNNNNNNNNNNNNNNNNNNNNNNNNNNNNNNNNNNNNNNNNNNNNNNNNNNNNNNNNNNNNNNNNNNNNNNNNNNNNNNNNNNNNNNNNNNNNNNNNNNNNNNNNNNNNNNNNNNNNNNNNNNNNNNNNNNNNNNNNNNNNNNNNNNUCUCUGGUUUUGCAGCCCACUCUGUUGGAUAGGAUCCGAGAGAAACAGAGUGGAGAUCCGUACCUGUUGGGGAUUCGAGAGCAGUUAGACAGGGGGCAGGCUGAGGGUUUUGCUGUGGACAGUUCGGGAGUACUACAGUACAGGGACCGGCUGUGUGUGCCUGUGGAUUCAGAGAUCCGAGAGGCUAUUUUGAGAGAGGCUCAUUGUUCACCUUAUAGGGUUCACCCUGGGGGAACCAAGAUGUAUAAGGAUUUAAAGGCACAGUUUUGGUGGAAUGGAAUGAAGAGAGACAUUGGCAGAAUUGUGGCUCAGUGUUUAACUUGCCAACAGGUGAAGGCCGAACAUCUGGUGCCUGCUGGCAAGCUUCAGAGUCUGCCAGUGCCCGAGUGGAAGUGGGAGCAGAUUACGAUGGAUUUCGUCAUGGGAUUACCUAGAGCACAGGGUGGCUUUGAUGCGAUUUGGGUAAUAGUGGACAGACUGACCAAAUCUGCUCACUUCUUACCGGUUCAGACCACCUGGUCCAGAGAGAGACUCGUGCAGCUAUAUCUGGAUGAGAUUGUUAGGCUGCAUGGCGUGCCAAUUUCGAUCGUAUCUGAUAGAGAUCCGAGAUUUGUAUCACAUUUCUAGAGGAGUCUUCAGACGGCCUUGGGCACUCAGUUGCAGUUCAGCACAGCAUUUCACCCACAGACUCUAGAGGACAUGCUGAGGGCAUGUGUCCUGGACUUUGGAAGAGGGUGGUAUCGGCAUUUUAGAUUGGUUGAGUUUGCGUACAACAACAGCUAUCAAGCGAGCAUUCAGAUGGCUUCGUUUGAGGCGUUGUAUGGACGCAGAUGUCGAUCCCCUUUGUGUUGGAGUGAUGUGGGUGAAAGGAAGACGCUAGGGCCUGAGAUUUUGCUAGAGGCUGAGGAAAAGGUGAGAGUUGUUCGACGACACCUUUUGACAGCCCAGAGCCGCCAGAGGAGCUACGCUGAUACCAGGAGACGAGACUUGGAGUUCCAGGUUGGAGAUCAUGUUUUUCUUAAAGUCUCGCUUUCCAGAGGGAUUCACCAAUUUGGAGUGCGUGGAAAGCUCAGUCCACGUUUCGUUGGCCCUUUUGAGGUAUUGGAGCGAGUUGGACCAGUUGCUUACCGGAUUGCUCUACCACCCCGACUAGCUGGGAUUCAUGAUGUGUUCCACGUCUCGGCGUUGAGGAGAUAUGUUUUCAAUCCUUCUCACGUGAUCGACUUCACUCCACUAGAGAUUGGCGAGGAUCUGAGAUACGAGGAGCGACCGGUGCAGAUUCUUGCUCGAGAGACGAAAGAGUUGCGCAACUGGAUCAUUCCGUAUGUGAAAGUGCAGUGGAACAAUCACGAGGAGCGGGAGGCGACUUGGGAGCCUGAGACAGUGAUGAGGGAGUCUUACCCAAACAUGUUUGAUUCUUAGAGUUGAGGUAUGUGCUAAGUUUUGAGGACGAAACUUUUUGUAGUGGGGGAGCAUGUAGUAUCCUUAUAUAUAUAUAUAUAUAUAUAUGGAUGCUGCCACGUACCCCAUGCAUGCAUGCUUAUCUACUUCUUAGCUUGAGGGUGCUCUAAUUAAAAUUUGCUUUAUCUCUUUAAUGUGAAGUAGAGAGCCACACGAGGUGGAGCUCAGGGGAGUAGCCGCGGAGCUCGGAUUCGAUGUCGACGUCGCGCCGUGGAGCCGUUCGAGGAUACGGUUGCAGUCGUAGCAUCGUGAGGAGUUCGAGCGAGGGCAUGGUUUUCGCCGUCCUCGACGUCGCACCGGCGCUGGAUUCGCUGUCGAGGUGGGUACCUAACUUUCCUCCUUGGAUUACUUGAACGCACGGUUUUGAGCUCGCGUGCUGAUUUUCAGCGUCGACCGUCAGUGUUUCGGCUCGUACUCGGCGUAGGAACGUCGGAUUUCGACGGGACUUGGUUCAUUGGAUUCAGGACUUCGAGAGGAAUCCACGAAGCCCUUAUUUGCUGGAUUUGUUGAAGGUUACCUGGGUCGAAAUUAUGUUCUCCUCUGCUGCUGUGUUUCGGACAGAAUUUGAGUUGGAGUUCUUCGUUGCGAUGUGUGCAGGGCGAUUUCGAACUUGAGCUGGACACCCUGGUUUUUUCAGUGGAUUUGGGGAUUUUUGGUGACCUCCUCGCUGCCGGGGUUUAGCGAUCGAGGUGGGUUACAUCGAUUUUUACUCCUAAGUUCUAAUCGUCAACAUGUAUAAAUCUCGAUUUUUAGUAUAGUCUAUUCUAGCUCGAAUUCAUGGAUUAUGUUAUAGAUUGCAAAUCUGAAUUUGGAGCAUGUGGUAAUAAAUUGAGUAGUAUAUGCAUGUUGGACUUGGAAUUUGAAUUAGGAGAAAACCUGCGAUUUGGACCUGUCACUUGUUUAAACUGCCUGAUUUAGCUCUAGGAGCCGUUAUAAAAUUGUACUGUCGCAGUAUCCUUGAGACGAGUACUCCAAGUAGUUUAGCAUACAUUUACACUCGUGCUGGUACGCCGAGUGAAUUUUUACAGGGUCGUUUGGACUGUUCCGAACUGUUGGGUGCCGUCGGGAUUGACGGUGGACCCGGAUCGUCUUUUUGGCGACAGAUUGUGCCGAGGGCACGUGAACUAUUGGUUGUUAGACCAGUUAGAGUCGAUUACUUGACUUUGGCUUUUCAGAGUCUGUUUGAGCUUGACAGAGAUACGCUGCAUACUCGGUUGGGUAGCGCCCACGAGUGCCACUCCGGAGACGGGCUUUGUGCUUUCGCGUUGGUGUUGCUCAUGCCGGUUGGACUUGCUCUCCACGGACCAGUUAGUGUGGAGGUAGCUGGAUAGUCGCAACUGGGCAGGGACGGGUGUAUUCACAGUCCCCGGGACGUGUAUGUUUACAGUCCCGAUUGGAUUGGGUCAGUUUUGACAUUCCUACAGUUGGUUAGCAUAGAGCAGGUUGGUGUAGUGACUAGUAGCUGUAGAGUUCAUUCCAGCAUUUUACUUUUACCAUUGCUCCCUUCUGUAGACUUAGUGGGCGGACCGAUAUUGUUUUGGGCGGCACCCACUGAGGACUACCUGUUUUUACAGUAGUUCUCACGCCCUGUUGUUACCCCCUGUUUUUGCAGAGCCAUCGUCGUCGGCUGCUGCUGUCGCAGAUCAGGAUCGAGGCAAGGGCGUCGCGAGUUAGAGCCCUACCAGACAUGCAGAGCUAGAGGUGCCCCUAGUGCAGGUAGAUGUUUUGUUUUGAGUUCAUGUACAUAGUAUACUUAACUCGCCAGUGCGAGUAGCUCUGUAUUUUUGGUUAUUGGACUAUGUAUAUGGAACUUCGUUUGUUUAACUUCUGUUUACUCUAGUAGCUCUAUACUACUGUUUGUAGUAUUGUACGGUUUAUAGGUACAGCUGUCGCUUCGUAUACAGGAGAAAUUCCUUUCUAUACGGCGAAUUUGUCGGCGUGCCCGGGGAACGUGUAAUCCGGGGCAUGACAGGCCGCGCAUGACCUUGCUAGUACUGUACAGCUAUGGGUCCAUAUUCAAACAUAACAAGAUUACUAUCAGUAGUAAUUCGUUGAUUCUAUUCUUCUCCGCUAUCUGGCUGUGCGCCCGCGGCUCUCGCGUUCAGAACCAAACUACUAAGGUUUGCUAAUCUACCCUACUUCAAGCCUAGCCACGCGGCGACUCGCCUGAGUCCAAUCAAUGCUGCGGAUCAGCCACUUCGCCAACUGUCCGGCCUCAAGGGGAAGACUCCGGUCUACUCUACAGCUCAUCCGCCUCAGUCACCCCCCCCUGCCUUCAUCCACAAACAUCUGCAACGGGUCGCCCCAGAGCUGCGUAAAUACACCGGUCAGGGAUCUUUUCCGGUGGAGGGAUUUCAUGCCACAUACCUCAACGGAGCCCCAGCUGAAAACCGGAUCAGGGAAGGUGAACAUACCACACUCAACCCUAGCGAAGCACGAUUCUGCCGGCGGGAAGGGGAACCUGCCGCACUCGACCCGCGGCCUCGAAUCAGCCUUAAGCUCAUCCUCGAAGUUCAUCCAGUGGGAGGGGAACAUUGCCAACUACCCCCACGGCUUUAGAACUAUCGAGUUUACAAUCCUAAGAUUUCGGAAUCGACUUUCCAAGUCUCUAGGGUAAUCUCAAACCCUAUGAUAUCGACCUAUCUAGGUCCAAUGCACUUUCUAUCCUAGGUCUACCCGACUCUAGGUUUAACACCCUUAUCACAUAACCAAUAUUCUUUAAACUAGGUUAAUACCUCUCUACCUAGAUUUUUAUUAACUCUAGGUUCAACAACACUAGGAUCAAUGUCAACCUAUGUUCAUGACACUAGGUUAAUGCCACUCGAUCUAGCCUAGGUUCACGACACUAGGUUCAACAUCAAUCUUAUUCAUCCUAGGUUCUCAAUCCUAGGUUCAUAUUCGACCUAUGUUAUUACACUAGGUUCGGUGCCACUCGAUCUAGUUGUCCCUAAUUGUCCACAGCGAGUUUCUAUAAUUACAUAACCUCAUGCACAUGCUCACAUUGCUAAUAUGCAUUUUGUCUAUCAACAUGCAAUCAAGUAUCUUACUUAGCAUCUCUACAUUAUGUCAUCAUCUAGUAUAUAGUUCCGAUGCAUUAAUAUGCAAUCACUACUAGCAUGCAUUACAUAAUGCUAACAUGUAUAUACAUUUAACAAUUUCUCAUUAUGUCAUGUUAGAUCUACAACAUGUUAUCAUUUACUUGCUCUAUUAUGAAUCGACAUGAAACUAGCACUUGCAUAUAAUUCCAAUGCAUCAACAUGCCAUUAGCAACUAGCAUAAUUAACUAUCAUCUAGUACAUGCAUCUUAACCAACAUGCUCACAUAAUGUUACAUGCACCUAGCAUAUAUUCCAUGAUGCCCUUAGCACACUUCUAACCAUGCAUAUGUAUAUCAACAUGCACAUUCUAUUUAUAUGCUUUAACUCAUAUACAAUACCAUUAUACUUGUACAUAUGCAUCAACAUGAAUUUCAUGUUUACUUUGACAUGAAGGCGACUUAGUCGCUUCGGUAAGCACAAUCCACCUCAAAAUGCUUUCCGAUUGCUUGUCGACACUUGCAAUCGGCCGCCCGCGGCACCCGGCAUCCAGUUUGGCCCGAUCUCUCGCGCGACCACCCAAACGGUCUCCAAUCCGUUUUCAUGAGUUUACGAUGUCGCCUCGGCCCUCCAGGCGGAAAUGAAGCCUAAACGUCCGUUUCUUUAAUAACUUCGCACCGGCUCGACGAAUCGCCGAACCGACUUCCCCGGCGCGUUCGUUUACCUAGCAAUUAGGUUUAUAUAGGUUCAAUUUAGAUCAAACCAUCAUAUUUCCAAAAAUUGUAUUUUGAACCCUAGGUUUACUACUAGGUAAAAACCCACAUUAGAGCCUUGGUUUCAAGCAUCAAACCUCUAAUUAGCAUGCUAGAAUACCUCUAAACCCAUUCUUAGAGCUUAAAAACCAAACUAGAGAGAAGUGCCAUUAAAGGGUUUUGAAGCUUACCUUCAAAGCUUGCUCUCCAAUGGCUAAAGAGGAAGAUGAAGAAGAUGACUUUCCUCCAAGCUUCCUUCUCCACCAAAACCCUCUCUUUUGGGAGAGAAUUUAGAGAGAGAUAAGGGAGGGUUCUCUUUCUCCUCUCCUUGUGUGUGUGCGUGUGUGGCGUGCGGGUGUGUGGGGGCUGCACGGCUGAGGGUGGAAGAAGAGCAAUGCUCUUUUACAAUAUAGCCCCUCAACAAUUACACUAUUCACUCCAGGCAGUUUAGCAGUUCGGAACAGUUGGAGCCCUUCUGAAUGCCCGUUUGAGCUCAAAUUUGACAGACAGGCUCGAUUUAACGUACUGAGUAAGAAUAUAUCUUAAGUUUUCAGUUUUGAUCCCGUUUGGUCACUGAAAAUUGUACCGAACUGUAAUCUUUAUCAGAUAACUAUCGGAUUUUAUUUCUCACUCUACGGGUGUCAGAAAAAUAUGAAACCUUAAAUCUAGCCUCAUAAAAAUAUUUCUGACUUAUCCUCCAAUUUUCAUAAUUUUUUGAGACUGUGCAUUUUCUGCUAAUUUAUCGGUUCCGUUUCCAACAGAAAAUUCUAAAUCUUCUNUGUUUCGGGCAGAGGCCUCACCGUGAGCACCCGCGAUGGGUUGGCUCAUACGUCGCAUAGAGACAGUUCGAGUUUGUCUGAGACUUUUCGGUUUCAGUUCAUUAGCUGAGAUUGACCAGAUUGUUGGUUAUCAAGUGCACGGGAGCCGUGUUAGACAGCGGUUUUUCUGCUAGGCCCAGGUGGCAGUUGGGACUGCCGUGGGUUGUCAGGCCUUGUUGGACUUGCUGGGACAUUUUUUAGGUGAGCCGUGUGGUCGUGCUCGCAUUUAUAUAAGAUUUGAUAGACUUUAUAGGUGGUGUGGCUAUGACGCUGCUAUGUUAGCUUGGUGCCGAGGAUCUCGAUUUAGUCCGUCAAAUUUGUUCACUGUCCAGGUUUAGCGUCCAAAAUAGGAUUUAGUUUAAGGUUCAGGUUGUACGUAUUUGAUGAGUUAAAUAAUGGUGUACGAGGUGGUGUAUUCACAGUCCCCGGGACGGGUAUGUUUACAGUCCCGAUUGGAUUGGGUCAGUUUUGACAUUUCCUACAGUUGGUUAGCAUAGAGCAGGAUGGUGUAGUGACUAGUAGCUGUAGAGUUCAUUCCAGCAUUUUACUUUUACCAUUGCUCCCUUCUGUAGACUUAGUGGGUGGACCGAUAUUGUUUUGGGCGGCACCCACUGAGGACUACCUGUUUUUACAGUAGUUCUCACACCCUGUUGUUACCCCCUGUUUUUGCAGAGUCAUCGUCGUCGGCUGCUGCUGUCGCAGAUCAGGAUCGAGGCAAGGGCGUCGCGAGUUAGAGCCCUACCAGACGUGCAGAGUUAGAGGUGCCCCUACUGCAGGUAGAUGUUUUGUUUUGAGUUCAUGUACAUAGUAUACUUAACUCGCCAGUGCGAGUAGCUCUGUAUUUUUGGUUAUUGGACUAUAUAUAUGGAACUCCGUUUGUUUAGCUUCUGUUUACUCUAGUAGCUCUAUACUACUGUUGUAGUAUUGUACGGUUUACAGGUAUAGCUGUCGCUUCGUAUACAGGAGAAAUUCCUUUCUAUACGGCGAAUUUGUCGGCGUGCCCGGGGAACAUGUAAUCCGGGGCGUGACACCUUGCCUCGUAACUGUAACAAUGCUAUGCAAUAUGCAACUCAUACAAGAAUGUACUAUCAUAAGUAAAUCUCUUGAUUCUACUUCUAUCUCGCUAUCUCGCUCAGAUCCAACUAGCCUCUAAGGUUUCUAUCUACCUUAUUCAAGCUAGCCACCCGACUCGGCCUCGAGUCAAUCAACUGCGGAUAGUCCGCACUCUGUCCGGCUCAAGGUGAAGGACCUCUCACUUACACCUCAUCCUUCAGUCCACGCCUUCAGUCCACAAACAUCUCGCCAACGGGUCGCCCAGAGCUGCGUACACCCGUGGUCAGGGAUCUUUCCGGUGGGAAGGGGAUUAUGCCACAUACUCAACCCGCAGCCGAAAACCCCCGAUAGGGAAGGUGAACAUACCACACUCAACCCUAGCGAUGCACGAUUCUGCCGGCGGGAAGGGGAACCUGCCGCACUCGACCCGCGGCCUCGAAUCAGCCUUAAGCUCAUCCUCGAAGUUCAUCCAGUGGGAGGGGAACAUUGCCAACUACCCCCACGGCUUUAGAACUAUCGAGUUUACAAUCCUAAGAUUCAAUUUGGAUCUCAGCCCAUCUGGAUCCUAUCUUUCACGUAACCUGGAUCUAUCCAGCUAUAGUAUCCCAAACUCUAAUGGGAUCUCUGAACCUUUCAGCUAAGGCUNNNNNNNNNNNNNNNNNNNNNNNNNNNNNNNNNNNNNNNNNNNNNNNNNNNNNNNNNNNNNNNNNNNNNNNNNNNNNNNNNNNNNNNNNNNNNNNNNNNNNNNNNNNNNNNNNNNNNNNNNNNNNNNNNNNNNNNNNNNNNNNNNNNNNNNNNNNNNNNNNNNNNNNNNNNNNNNNNNNNNNNNNNNNNNNNNNNNNNNNNNNNNNNNNNNNNNNNNNNNNNNNNNNNNNNNNNNNNNNNNNNNNNNNNNNNNNNNNNNNNNNNNNNNNNNNNNNNNNNNNNNNNNNNNNNNNNNNNNNNNNNNNNNNNNNNNNNNNNNNNNNNNNNNNNNNNNNNNNNNNNNNNNNNNNNNNNNNNNNNNNNNNNNNNNNNNNNNNNNNNNNNNNNNNNNNNNNNNNNNNNNNNNNNNNNNNNNNNNNNNNNNNNNNNNNNNNNNNNNNNNNNNNNNNNNNNNNNNNNNNNNNNNNNNNNNNNNNNNNNNNNNNNNNNNNNNNNNNNNNNNNNNNNNNNNNNNNNNNNNNNNNNNNNNNNNNNNNNNNNNNNNNNNNNNNNNNNNNNNNNNNNNNNNNNNNNNNNNNNNNNNNNNNNNNNNNNNNNNNNNNNNNNNNNNNNNNNNNNNNNNNNNNNNNNNNNNNNNNNNNNNNNNNNNNNNNNNNNNNNNNNNNNNNNNNNNNNNNNNNNNNNNNNNNNNNNNNNNNNNNNNNNNNNNNNNNNNNNNNNNNNNNNNNNNNNNNNNNNNNNNNNNNNNNNNNNNNNNNNNNNNNNNNNNNNNNNNNNNNNNNNNNNNNNNNNNNNNNNNNNNNNNNNNNCAUUAGAGCCUUGGUUUCAAGCAUCAAACCUCUAAUUAGCAUGCUAGAAUACCUCUAAACCCAUUCUUAGAGCUUAAAAACCAAACUAGAGAGAAGUGCCAUUAAAGGGUUUUGAAGCUUACCUUCAAAGCUUGCUCUCCAAUGGCUAAAGAGGAAGAUGAAGAAGAUGACUUUCCUCCAAGCUUCCUUCUCCACCAAAACCCUCUCUUUUGGGAGAGAAUUUAGAGAGAGAUAAGGGAGGGUUCUCUUUCUCCUCUCCUUGUGUGUGUGCGUGUGUGGCGUGCGGGUGUGUGGGGGCUGCACGGCUGAGGGUGGAAGAAGAGCAAUGCUCUUUUACAAUAUAGCCCCUCAACAAUUACACUAUUCACUCCAGGCAGUUUAGCAGUUCGGAACAGUUGGAGCCCUUCUGAAUGCCCGUUUGAGCUCAAAUUUGACAGACAGGCUCGAUUUAACGUACUGAGUAAGAAUAUAUCUUAAGUUUUCAGUUUUGAUCCCGUUUGGUCACUGAAAAUUGUACCGAACUGUAAUCUUUAUCAGAUAACUAUCGGAUUUUAUUUCUCACUCUACGGGUGUCAGAAAAAUAUGAAACCUUAAAUCUAGCCUCAUAAAAAUAUUUCUGACUUAUCCUCCAAUUUUCAUAAUUUUUUGAGACUGUGCAUUUUCUGCUAAUUUAUCGGUUCCGUUUCCAACAGAAAAUUCUAAAUCUUCUGUUUUCAUUCCGAUUUUAGCACAAGUCAUUUCUGACUUAUGUUUUACUUCUCUAAAUCCAAUAAAAAUAGCUUCUCACACUAUUUUUAUUUAUUUUUAUUUUUAUACCAAAAUCUGGUAUGUUACAGAAAGGGAAGGUUUCUCUCUCCCUCUCCAUGCGUGUGUGUUGGUGUGUGUGUGUUGCUCGGUUGAAGGAGAAGAAGAAGAAGACAACUCCUUUAUAUAGUCAACACCCCAAAACACUAUUACAACCAACGGUUUAGCUUUCAGAAUCUGAUACUUUUCGCCGGAGCCCUUCUGCAUAUCCAUUUGCACUCAAAUUUGAUAGUCAGGCUCGGUUUUCCUUAAUAAGAAAGAAAAUAUCUUAAGUUUUCAGUUUCGACCAUUUUUGGUCAUCGAAAGCUCUAUCGAACUAAAAUCUCUAUCAGAUAGCAGUUGGAUUUUAUUUUCCACUUUCUGGGUGUCAGAAUGAUAUGAAACUUUAAAUCUAGCCUCAUAAAAAUAACCUUGACAUAUUGCCAGAUUUUCGUAAUUUUCUGACACUCUGAAUUUUCUGCUAAAAAUAUCAGCCCCACUUCUUACAGAAAAUUCUAGAUCUCCUGUUUUCAUUCCGAUUUCAGUACAAGUCAUUCCAGACUUACAUUUUACUUCGUUAAGUCCAAUAAAAAUAGUAUCUCACACUAUUUUUAUUUACACUUACUUUUAUAUUAAAACUCGGUACAUUACAAUCUUGGUGUGCAAAGAAACAACCUAUCGUAUCUCGUUCUAGUACGUAAACUGAAUAUCGCUCUCUCGCCCACACUACUGCCGAGCUUUCUUGGGUAUGGUUGCUUUUUAAAGAUCUUCAUAUAUUUCUACAUUCUAAACCAGCUAUUUAUUGUGACAAUAUUAGUGCUAUUCGACUUGCCUAUAAUCCUAUCUUUCAUACUCGAACUAAACACAUAGAAGUUGAUUAUCAUUUUGUACGAGAAAAGGUUGUUCGACAAGAUCUCGACGUUCACUAUGUAGUGUCACAAGAUCAAAUUGCUGAUAUCUUUACAAAAGGGCUAUCUUCUCAUCGAUUCAAUUUUCUCAAGGACAAGGUAAUGGUGCGUGCACCUCCCAUAAGCUUGAGGGGGCGUAAUGGAGGAUCAAGUGACGAUACAAUUAAAGAAUUAAUUAUGGGUGAAUCAAAUUUCCAAAAUCAGGAAUCUACCAACUAUGACAAGUAUUCAAAUCAUAAGCAAUUGUGGAAACUCAAGAAUGACAAUCUCUCAAAUAUGACAAACACUCCAAAUAGAAAAUAUUCGGAUUCAAAUAUUGUACAUUUCUAGAAUGUAAUUAUUGUAAUACCAAGAAUAAUGGGAUUAUAUUUUGUAUUCAAUAAUUCUAUAUAUUGAGAGUUUGUUUUGUAUGUUCUCUAUUGAGGACAACAACCAUUUUUCCACCAAUUAUAAUUUUCUUUAAAAAUGAUCAAAUUGCCCCUCACAAUCUUCGUUUUCUCCCGAAUCUUGUUCAACCAUCGUCUUUGUAAUAUAUCGAACUUCUACAAUUAUGAAGUUUUGGUAGGAACUAACUUAAAAAACUAUUAAAAUAGUUUCAGCGAAGUUUGAAGAGUAUUCGAGUGUUUGCAAACCAGACGCGAAAACGGGCUCCAAAAGCUGAAAUCUGCAUGUGUUGCAGAUUUUGUAUUGUGUAUCGGUACUGGAAUCUGAGUACCAAUACGCAGUACAAAAUGAGAAAAAUGAGCUCUCGGAUUUUGAGGAACCAAAGUUGGGUACCGAUACUAGAUUUGUAUUGGGUAUCGGUGCUGGAAACCGAGUACCGGUACGCAGUAGAAAUUGAGAAUCCAACUUUCGAGUUUUGAGGUAAUGAAAACUGGGUACCGGUACUGGAUGCUCGAGUACCGGUACCGGUACCGGUACUGGAUGCUCGGUAUAGAAAAUAUUCGGAUUCAAAUAUUGUACAUUUCUAGAAUGUAAUUAUUGUAAUCCCAAGAAUAAUGGGAUUAUAUUUUGUAUUCAAUAAUUCUAUAUAUUGAGAGUUGGUUUUGUAUGUUCUCUAUUGAGGACAACAACCAUUUUUCCACCAAUUAUAAUUUCCUUUAAAAAUGAUCAAAUUGCUCCUCACAAUCUUCGUCUUCUCCCCAAUCUUGUUCAGCCAUCGUCUUUGUAAUAUACCGAACUUCUACAAUUAUGAAAUUUUGGUAGGAACUAACUUAAAAAACUAUUAAAAUAGUUUCAGCGAAGUUUGAAGAGUAUUCGAGUGUUUGCAAACCAGACGCGAAAACGGGCUCCAAAAGCUGAAAUCUGCAUGUGUUGCAGAUUUUGUAUUGAGUACCGGUACUGGAAUCUGAGUACCGAUACGCAGUACAAAAUGAGAAAAAUGAGCUCUCGGAUUUUGAGGAACCAAAGUUGGGUACCGAUACUAGAUUUGUAUUGGGUAUCGGUACUGGAAACCGAGUAUCGGUACGCAGUAGAAAAUUGAGAAUCCAACUUUCGAGUUUUGAGGUAUUGAAAACUGGGUACCGGUACUGGUUGCUCGAGUACCGGUACGCCAACCCGAGUACCGGUACUCAGCUCUACAGAAUGCUAUUUUUGAAGGGUAAUUUGGUAAUUUCGGUUGGGGGCCUAUAUAAGGGAACCCUUCUCCCCUUUCUCUGCAGAAAACACACACAUGCACAUUGUGAGGGAGAGAGGAGCUCAUCUCUCUUACUCUUUUCUUCUUUUUCUCCAUCUUGGAGAUCUUGGUGGAGAUUGAACUUGCGAAGCUCGGAGGAGCGGUGAAUCAAGCUCUCGGGCGCUUGGUGGCUCGGAGUGCUUUCGACUCGAGGUGAGUUUUGGGGUUUUAAGCUAGGGUUUUGGGUUUAAACCUUCUAAACAAAUUUCUAUCAAAUCCUAGACUAAUCUAGGCUACAAAUUGUAGAGAUUAGCAAAUAGAAUUUGGUUUUGCUGUGAAGUUUGGAAAACCCUAGGUUGAAAGAGGGGUUUGCUUGUGGAGGAUUAUAAAAAUAUUUUAACCCUUUAAAACUCUAAUUGAGGAUUAGGAAAUCAAGUGGGGCAACUUGAUUUCAAAAGAAAAAAUCAUUUAAUGGUUCGAAAAUGGUAAUGAAUGCAUCUCUUGUAUAGAGAAAGGAAAGCUUGGGAUCAAGCUUGGAGAUCCAAGAGGUUGGCCUAAUUGCAAGUGUCUACAAGCAAUUAGGAAGCUUUGUAAGGUUGGUCGUGCUUCACCGAAGUAAUUAGGUCACUUCCAUGCCAAAGAGUGAAGUAUGGUAUUGUUUAUUGAUGCAUGCAUGUAAUGGUAGAUUAAUUGGUAAACGUAGUGUACGAAUUAUAUGUUGCUAGAUUAAACUAUCUACCAUUGGACAAGAAUAUAAGCAUGUGGAACAUAUAGGAUAUAUAUAUAUGCCUAGGUAUGGACAUUGAACAUAGGUCGAUGAACUCUAGAAAAAUUAGAGAACUCAACAAAUGUGAAAUCAAGGACUAGAUGCCAUGAAAUUAUGAGUCCUAGGUGUGGACAAUCAAGAUAAGAAAGAACAUGAUUGAGUAUGGAAUUUAGUGUCAUUGAACAUAGGUUGGAAAAUAUAGUGGUAGGAAGACCACUUGUAUUGGAAAGUAAUUGAACCUAAAGUCAAGUGAACUUACGUGGGAAGGACAUAGGACCUAGUGUUACUGAACCUAGGUUAUGAGGCAUAGUGGUAGGAUGACCACUUGGACAUGAGAAUAUAAACCUAGAGAGGUUGACUUGGAAACGGAUGGAUGUGCACAUCUGGUGAUCUUGGUGAUCUUGGUAUCAAAGCUUUGGCAUGUACAACGAUUCCACCGUCGGGCUUGAUACCAAGGGGUGCGGCGAUUUCGCCACCCAGUGACUUAAUGUGAGGACUGAGAGUUUGCUGUAAUAUAUCGAAAUUUCGGUAGGUUAUAUCGAACUUCAAUCAAAUUGACCAAAGUAUUGUUCCGAAUGCUUCGGAGUGCUUGGUAUAGGGUGUAGAGACCUUAGAGAACAUGUUGGAAAAUUUUCAGCUCAAAAUAUGCACAAAAUGCUCUCGGGGUCCGUAUCCUGUGCAAGGUCCGAACCCCGUACCCGCAAAUUCGUGGGUUGGUCCAAAUCUGUGUUUUGGAGAGGGGCCUAAGUGUAAUUAUGUGAGGGGAAUGUUAUAUGAGGGUUCUACACCCUUCUCCUCUCAUUCCGGCCUUUCAGACUAAAAGAGAAAAGAACUCUCUCUCUCUCUAGAGCUUCUCACCUCUCUCUCUCUCCUUUCUCUCAUUAUCUUACUAGGGUUUGGUCCAAGAAAGGGCUUUGGUGGAGAAGAAGACUUCUUGGAGGGUGGAGUUAGCACUUGUGCAAGAGGUGGAGGAAAGAGCUUGAACUCAGGGUGAGUUCUUAUGGUAUUUAGCUAGGGUUUUGAGUUAAUUACUUCUAGUAGCUGUGUUUAAAGGCUACUAUGAUAGAAUUGUUCAUGAGUUUUCAUGAAUUAGUGAGUAAUUGGCAAUUGUUGGAAACCCUAGGGUCAAAUUAGGGUUUUGCUAAAUGACAGAUUUAACUAGGGUUUGAUCUCUUGUAGCCUUAAUUAGCGGAUAAUCUGACGCGUUGGGAGAUUCGGUUCGAAGAUCCGACGAGUCUAUGUCAAGAAAACAACGAAAAACCUCAUUUCGGCUUCAUUUGCCGAGGGUCGAGGGCGAUUGGCGUGCAUAAAUUCUGGAAUUGGGAUUCUAGCACCUUAGCGACCCUACGAGGUGGGUGGUGCUAUCCGAAGUCAUCGAAUCUCUUUUUAUGUCUAACUGUCACUUAUUGAGCAUGUAUGUGUAUAUAGGUUUUAUGCAUUGUAGGGUUAAAAUGAAAAUAUGUUGAUAUAUUGCUUGCAUGCUUUUAGUGUAAAAGAUGCAUAUGAGUUAUUAAUGAGCUACUGAAUAAGUGUGAACCCUAUAGAUGUAUGAAUUGUGACAUGAACCUAGUUGAGGCAAAGAACAUAGUGACAUUAUGACAUGUGAGUAAAAUAGCACCUUGUGGCACUAGCAAGUGUGCUGAAUGCUAGAAUAGAACUUAUAGUGAGUUGUGACAUUGUGAACAUGGCAUCCUUAUAGUUAAGGAUUGAAUUGAGCAUGGCAUCCUCAGAGUUGUGGAUUGGAUCAUACUCACCUAUAAGUCUUGGCUUAAGGGCGGUCACUCUCCCUCGAGUGAUGAGCUCCGGAGUAGUCAUCACUGGGUCGUAGCGAGUAUCUCCCCAGAGAACGGUCCCAUCGGGUUGUAGCGAGUAUCUCCCUAAUAGCAGGGAUUUGAGUUGGUGAGUUUUAUUUUUGGUGGCGAAACCUACGGGUUAGCCAAGAGGAUUGGGUAUUGGAAAUGGAAUCGGCAUGCAUCAUGAGCAUCUUUUAUUGAUAGUAUUUUGUUCAGACAUAAUAGCUGCAUUUGUUAGCAUGGUUAUCUAUCUAUCUGCUUUAUUCUUCUACUUAUGCCUGAUUAGACCUAGUGGGAAAGUCGGCGGGGUCGGCGGCCGAACCCACUGGAAACUUUGUUAUAGUUCUCACCCCACUAUUUUCUACAGAGCCGGGGCCGAGUGAGCCGAUCGAGGAUCUCGGUAAGGGUAUCGCGCCUUAGACAGUGACCACCUGAGUAUAGUUCAUGCCUGUUAUUAUCAUCUUUUGUAUGUAAUGAUGAGAGUUGUAUAAAUGAUGUAUAAAUGUAAAAGACUUAUAUUUUGGAGAUGUAUAUGAUCUUGUGAUGUAAAAAGAGAAAGAAAAAGAAUGAGUGUACCUUGUAGUAUGCUUGUAUAUGGUUAAAAGAAAUCAUGAUACCUGUAUGUAUAUGAUGUAGAGUAGAACUUUCACUUUGGUUGUUGCUUGCCUUCGUGCAAGCCAUGUAAAUUUAUGUCUUCUUCUUGCGCAAAAAUUUAUAUACAUGUUGAUAUCGUGUUGAGCCUUGAGCGGACAGGGGAGGUGUUGUCCGUUCGGCGUCUGUUGACAUGCCCGAACCGACCAAAUAGGCGUGCUCGGGGCGUGACAUUUGCUGUGCAGAUAAAAUCUUUGUUAACGAUGUUUUUGUGUGUAUUUAAUUACAUAAGCACUCAUCAUGUUUCAGAAGAAAACAAGUUAGGAUGGAGAAGUUACGCGACUCUUACUGAUCACUUAAGGUGAAUAGUAACUCAAGUUUUCUGGAGAGGCCAAUCAGUGGAGAUGACUUCUGGUGCAUAUUGGACUCCGUUCAUAGUGAUCCAAUAGCUCCUUUUCGACGGUUCGACUAUCUUGGACCUAAUGGCAUUGACGGAUUUGGGUUCUGAUACAUUGUUUUCGAGAAAAAAGGGAUUUUAUCGCAAAAAGGAAUUUUUGGUAAUUGGAGAGUGGAUGGGUUUCGCCGCAAAUCGACGACCAUAUCGGGCAAAACAAAAUUGUGAAUUUGAUGUCCCAGUCGUGCUGAACGUGCUGGCGUGAUCGAUCGAAAAUCCGAUAGAUGGAUCUCCAGGAAUCUCAAAAAAUUCACAAAAAGCCCCAUAUUUUAUAUACCGUUUUUCUUGAUUUCGAACGUCGAGGUGCGUAUGCGCAAAACACACAUGCUAUGAGGGACUAACUGAAAAUAUUCAGCUUUGGAGAACUUUUUUGCAAAAACUACACCUUAUAUAUAUAUAUAUAUAUAUAUAUAUAUAUAUAUAUAUAUAUAUAUAUAUAUAUAUAUAUAUAUAUAUAUAUAUAUAUAUAUAUAUAUAUAUAGGUAACGGGUUUCAUGCAUGAAACCCUAACCUUAGUCGAUUAGCUCCUCCAAUUGCGCCCCCAGCAGCCUCCACCACCUCCCAUGUCACGCCCCGAGCCCGCCUCUUUGGUCGGAUUCGGGCACGCCAACAGACCGCCGAACGGACAGGGUUUCCCCUGUACGUCCAAGGCGUCACAAUCCAUACAAAGCACGAGGUUCCAACCAAGAAUAGUAUUCAAACAAGGAUUGCAUAAGGAAGUAUCAAAAACAUAAAUACAACUAUACUAUUACAAGCAUGCAUCUCAAAUUUUUUACAUAUUACAUGCAUCUUACAUUUUAGUCUUCCAAAUACAAUCCAAAUUAUUACAAAUUAUUACAAUCUUAUUCUUUUCAUUUCCUUACAGCCCUAAGUAGCUGACUUAGGGUACCGCUAUCUCUGGUCUCGGUGGUAGGGUGCUAACUACGGUGCUACGCCCUCGCCUCGCGCCGCUCACGUGUGAACCUGUACCCCCAAAAACAACACGGGGGUGAGAACUAUUGUCCAUAAUUCCCAGUGGGUACUGCCACUCAAGGAAAAAGCUCGACCCACCAGGUCCAGGCACUGCAAACAUAUUAGUUCAAUAGAUAUCCACAGAUAAUAUUUAUGCAAAUAUUAAAUACAUGUUUAUGCCUCAAGACAUGCAAUAUGUAAUGUAAAUCAUGCAAUCAACUAAGUAGAUCAUCCGAUACUACUCUAUAUCUCGCUAUCCAUAGCUUUUCCAUAAUUUAUACAUCUUAUUAUUUUACAUCAUUCGUUAUUUGCUCCUAAGAUUUUUCUCUACCUUAGCGAAGCUAACCACCCGACUCGGCCUUGAGUCAAUCAUCUGCGAAAUACCGCAUACAACCAGGCUCGAGGUGAUGGACGUCUCACAUACACCUCAGCCUUAAAUCCACUCGAUAGGGAUACCAAAUCCAUAGCUCAUAAUGCAUGCUUUUUCACUUUCAUUUUGACUUUUACCCAAUUAACCCGGUUAACACUUGUUAACCCCAAAACUCACAACCCAAAAUCCCUUAAUAACGAAGGACUCGAACCACCCUAGGGAUCGUCUGCUAGACAAGUACGUUAGUCCAUGGGCAAAUACGUUAGCCCAUCGUGUGACAACUCCGGAGUGCACUCCUUGGGUGGAGCGACCACCGCGAAUGUCACGCCCCGGGACCGAUACCAAUUUGGCCCGACCCGAGCACGUCAAACAGACGCCGAACGGACAGAGUUUUCCCUAUCCGCCCAAGGCUCAUCACGUGUACAAAUUCAAACAAGAAAUGCACUAGCGGAAACAUACACAAACGGCUUACGCAAGGGUAAGCAAUAGCCAUUAGUGAAAGAAAGAAAAACUAACAUUUAUAAGUACUAUGAUUUAUUUUUGAUCAUAUACAUUGCAUUCAUCUUGUUCACUUUCGAAUUCCUUACAUUUCAUUUCAUCAUUUCUUUCUUACAUCACAUUUACCUCAAAAUACACAUUACAUUCUUUUCUCACAUCACUAGUCAUCAAAUACAAAAGAUGAACAUAGGGUACUCUACUAACAGAAUGAAACCCAACUUUGGUGGCCUCUGACUAAGGCGCGAUACCUUUACCUCGGUCGCUCGCCGGCUCGCUCGGUCCCGGCUCUGUGGAAAUAGUGGGGUGAGAACUACAACAAAGUUCCCAGUGGGUUCGGCCUCAACAUCACCGACUUUCCCACUAGGACUAACUCAGGCAUAAUAGAAAGGAUAAGCUGAAAUAUAGUAACCAAUCUACAACAUGAUGCUAAUAUGCCUGAACAAUAAGCAAGGAAUAUGCUCAACAUUAACAUAUGCAGAUUAUGCAAGUUCUUUCGUUCUUUAUCUUUACACUUUGUUCUUUGUUCUUUGCUCUUUGUUCUUUAUUCUUUAUUCUUUAAUCUCAAGGCUAACCCGGGGGUUUCGCCACAUUAACUUGCUUCACAUUAAGUCCAUCAUCGCAGGAACUCACCCGCUAGGACCGUCCUUCGGGUUUACUCCAACCCGUGAUGCAUAACUCCGGAGCGCAUCGCCCGAGGGGGAGCGACCGCCCUCGAGCACGGAACUCAUAGCAAGUAUGAUCAUAUCCUUAACUCAAAGGAUUUAUAAGUUCAAUCUUGACUUUACACUAGCUCUAGUGUUCCUUAUGUCACUUUAUGUUGCCACUCUAGCAAUCAUUGUUCUUUACUUUUCUUUUACUUUUGCCAUCUUUAGCAUUCUUGUUCUUUACAUUUCUCGUUCUUAUUGCCCCACAUUACUUUAGCUUUAUACAUGGUCAUUUUCAUCAUUCUUUACAUCACUUUGGUUCUUUGGCUCACACUAACUCUAGUGUCACUUUACUUUACGUUUCGAAUGCCACUCGAUCUAUGUCAUAGUGUCACUCUGUUCUUUUGCUCACUUUGGGUGCUCACUUUCUCUCAUGCAUACACAUAGGGUUUUCGACGUUUACAUAGUUCUCGUUCAUGAUAUUAUGCAAGUUGUGCUCACAAUCAUGCAUCAUUACAUUUUCUAUCAUCACUUUACCCUAAAUGCAUGCAACAAUAUAUAUACAUACGCUCAAUUGAAUGACACAUUAGGCAUAGAGAGAAGUUCAAUGAGUUUGAGAAGCACCACCCACCUUGUAGGUCUCUUUAGGUGCUCCGAUGAUUUUCUUGGGAUUUUUAGACCCUUCGUUCUUUACCUGCGGCAUAAUGAAGCCAAAUUAGGCUUAUUUGGCCAUAACUUUAUAUUGGCUUUUCGUAACAUUAAUCCGAGCGCACCAACGCGUCGGAAAUACCCCCAAUUAGGUUUCUAGAGGGUCAAUUGCACUUAGAAACCCUCAUGAGCAAAAGCCCCAAUUUGGUGCCCUAGCUCCAAUACAUAUGUCAAACCUAGGGUUUGAUCUCAAAGAGAAGCAAAAAUAGCUUCAUUAUACUCUAAAAAGUCCAUUAGAACCAUCUUUAGACAAAUCAAAACCCUACUUAGGGUUUCACCAUGAGAGGUGAUGAAGCUCACCUCAAGCCUAUUUUCCAUGGUUUGAUCUGCUAAAAACAAAAGAAAAGCUUCAAAUACUCAAAUGGUUCCAUAAAACUCAUUAAACUUAAUCCAACCCUAGAUUAGGUUCUACGCAUGAUGUAGGGUAGCUUACCUUGUAAGCUCUCCUUUUCCAAACUAGAGGGGAAGAAGAUGAAGUUGCUUCACCUCUUGAUCUUCUUCUUCACCUUCUUUUCCUUCUUCUCCUUCCUUUCUUUCUCUUCUUCUUCUCCUUCUUUGUCUUCUAGAGAGAUAAAGAGAGAUAAGAGGGGAUGAGAGGGUGAAAAUGAGAGAAAUCCCUCAUUUACCCCAAUACAUAGCUCAUUGGGUUGCAAAAUUGCAGCUAAACCCCUCUACUUUCACUUUAAUACACUGCCCGAACUGGGCAGUUUGCGCAGGCGGGGACCGGUCUCUCCUUCAGGGACCGGUUCCCGAAGGUCGUCUCAGCGCAGCCAGAGCUACUACGCGCAGUGCAACCGGUCUCUCCUUGGUGGACCGGUCUCUCGGGGACCGGUCUCUCAGGCAGGGACCGGUUCCCGAGAGCUAGUUUCUCAGGACUUAGCCGAUUUUUCGGCUGUCUCAAAUCAUACGCGUUCGGGGACCGGUCUCUCCCACUAGGGACCGGUCCCCGAGAGCUCAAAAUCUGCAGUUUUGCAGAAUUUGAUUCUAUAGCUCUCGAAAACCUCCCGUAACUCGCUUUUAAUCAUUUUAACACCUUCGGACUUUCCGAAGUGUACCGUCCUCGCACUUCGGUCAAUUUGACUAAAGUUCGACAUUUUCUUAUUUUCCGAAUUUACGGUAUAUUACAGCGAAGCUAAAAACAAACUAUAUGAGUAUGAUCCAAUCCUCUAACCCGAGAAUACCCUACCAACUAGUGGUAAUCAAACCGGGAUAACACCAAUCCCAAACCUCAUGUACUGAGUAAUCACAUUGUCGCUAGCUAAUGCCACAAUGUCUCUAAGUUCACAUUGUUAUGUCAAAUGCCAUAAGUGUUUCCAAUACACUAAUCAUAUGCCACUCGAUCUAUUUGACAUCCUAAUUGUCUAUAUCGAGUAUCAUAGUUCAUAUAUCCUUAUUUUUCAAUGUCGAGUUUCUAAUUCACCUAGAGUUUAUCGACCUAAGCUCAACAUGCAAAUGUCAAUUAACAUAAUCCUCUAUAUGUCAACAUGCAUAGUUCAUCUAUCAUAUGCAAUAUGUCAUCAUGUAUAUAUUUUCAUUUAACAUAAUCCACAAUAUGUUAAUUCACACUAUGUCAUCAUGCACAUAUACCAACUAGCAUCUCAUGAUAUGUCAACACACAUAUAUACAUCAUCUAGCAUAAUCCAAACUAUGCCAACAUUCCUUUCUAUAGUAUCACUUUCAUGCAUUCAUAUAACCUCUAUGACAUACAUUCAUAUAACAUUUCAUGCAUUCUUAUAGUAUUAUUUUCAUGCAUUCAUAUAACCUCUAUGACAUACAUUCAUAUAACAUUUCAUGCAUUCUUAUAGUAUCAUUUUCAAGCAUUCACUUAGCAUAUUUCUUAUACAUUUACCAUUCUUCAACUAGCUACCAUUAUAUGCAUUAAUAAUAAACAACGCUCCACUUCGACAUGGAAGUGAGCUAAUAUCUUCAGUGAGCACAACCCACCUCUUUUCGAUUGCUUGUAGUCACUUACAGUCGGCCUCCCGCCGCACCCGUGACCCGGUUCGGCCCGAACUUGCGCGCGACCACCCAAACGGCCACCAAUCCACGAUCUGGAAAUUGAAGGUCUAUAACUUGAUGCCACGAUGCUCCGGAUCCAUUUUCAUGAUUUUUGGACGCCGCCUUGGCCCUCCAGGCGGAAACGAAGCUGAAACGUCCGUUUCUUCAAUAUCUUCGCAUAGGCUCGACGAAUCGCCGAACCGACUUCGCCAACGUGUUCGUAUACCUAGCAAUUAGGUUUACGUAGGGUUAAUUUAGAUCAAACCCAAACAUUUUACAAAAACCCUAUUUUGAACCCUAACAUGCUACUAUUGCAAUAAAUCUCCAAAUUGAUUCAUGAUUCAAGCAAAUAGCAUGUUGUUAUCACCUAGGGAGUCCUCUAAACCCAUUCCUAGAGCAUAUAAAUAAAGCUCUAAAGAUUUACCAUGAGAGGGGUUCAAGAAGCUCACCUCAAAGCUUGCUCCAAACCAAGGAGAAAAUGAAGAAGAUGAAGAUGAUUCACUUCCAAGCUUCAAUCUCCACCAAAUCCUUCAAUUUUGGGAGAGAUCUAGAGAGAGAAAGGGAGGUCUCUCUCUCCCUCCAUGUAUGCGUGUGUGUGUGUGUGUGUGUGUGUGGUGUUGUGGCUGCACGGUUGAGGGAGAAGAAGCAAAUGCUUCUUAUACAAUUAACACCCUCACAAUACACUAUUCGCAUCAGUUUAGCAGAUACAAACUGACGUUUUUCGCCGGAGCCCUUCUGAAUGUCCGUUUGAGCUCAAAUUUGACAGUCGGGCUUGAUCUUACUUAACUUAACGAAAGAAAUUUUAAUUUUUCAGUUUCGAUCCCGUUUGGUCACCGAAAGCUCCACCGAACUGUAAUAUCUAGCAGAAAGCAGUCGGAUUUUAUUUUCCACUUUCCGGGUGUUUAUUUUUCACUUUUCGGGUGUCGGAUUGACAUGAAACUUUAAAUCUAGCCUCAUAAAAAUAAUUUCGACAUAUUUUUCAGUUUUUAUAAUUUUCCGACACUGUCUAUUUUCUGCUAAAAUAUUAGUACCGUUUCGCACAGAAAAUUCUAAAUCUUUUGCUUUCGCUCCGAUUUCAGCACAAGUCAUUUCUGACUUAUAUUUUACCUCUCUAAAUACAAUAAAAAUAGUGUCUCAUACUAUUUUUAUUUAUUUUUUACUUUUAUACCAAAUCUGGUAUGUUACAUCCCAGCCCUUCGCCGGGCGCAUCCCGGCCACCGGCGAACACCUCCGGCCGCCGAAAAAGACGGCAUUGCAUCUCAUCCACCUAACACCCCCUCAUUUCUGCCGUGGACCACCUAGGGUCAUCCAAAGCCUCGGGUCCCUCUCCACUGGCCGCAACCCAACCUUCGGCACCGUCCUUACCGGCCCCCGCCGUCCGUGCACACCGCGCCGUCACUGCCUAGGCGAUCCGCGCCCAGUCGAGGUCAACUUGGGCCGAGCCCAAGCUAGCUCGCGGUCCACGAGCCGCUGCCGCCAUAGACCGGCCACACCGCCCUCCUAGACCUCCAGCAACCUUCCGCAUGCCGCCCCCGUCAUCCCCGCGGGCUGCCAGCCGCUGCCCUAGCUCCCCGCGGCAGCCAGGACCUAGCUCGGGCCUAGGCCGAUCUAUUCUCGCUCCUGCACCUCGCCGCCGCCGCCCACGGUCGGCCGCGCCGCCUUUUCCCGGCCUCUGGCGACUGAUCGUCGUAGCCCCGGUGCUCCCCCGGCCGCCGCCUAGCUGCCGUUGACCUUUGAGCCGGAGCUGAGCCGCACAGGCUCGUGCCUCUCCACCGCGCCAUCGGCCGUCUCCCGUCGUUGGCCAAUGCAUGCCCAGGCCCCCUCCGGCCAGCCGCAACCUUCUCCUGCCGGCGCGCCCGCUGUUCGGCCGUCGUCGGCCACCCUGUGCUCCACUCAGCUUCGGUAAGCUAGUUUAUAAUUUUCUACACACUGUUUCAGGUUUGGGUGGCUGUUCCGGCUAUCCAAGGGCACCCUGACACUCUCGGAAGUGAGCACGACGAUCCCUGAUCCAUGCAGAUCAUCAUGCUCACCUCUUUUGGGGUCAGCGAAGCCCCCGUUUGUGUGCUAAACAAUGUUUAGGCACUGUGCGCGCUGUUCGCAGAAUUUCGCGUUGCCCCCGCACUCUCCACAGUGGUCGGCCAUGCUCCAAAGCAUGAGCAUGGCCUACGGCACGUUGAGACCUAUCAGCGAGUGUCUCGUCUAGGCUCGAAAGUCCUCGGUUUGCGUUGUCGGGCCGUAAAACCCCGAAAAUCACAUAAAAUGAUAUGAUUUUAUGUAAUCACAGGGGCUUAUUUGCAAAUUUAUGUUUCGUGGUUGUUGUGGGCACUGUGUGCAGGCAGGGGGUGACCUCUGGACUGGUUGUCCAAGGCCCCAGGCCUUUUCGGAAAUCGGAUGUUGAUUUUCGGUGUGUCUUUCGGCGAAAUCCGUUUACGGAACGCGAUUUCGGUUCGAAAUUCUUUCGAUAAUGCCUCACGAUAAAUUAUGUUGUCGCUGACCCUUGUUGUCUAGUCACCUGCGUCGUUUUGAGGGUUCGGAAACGACGGGUGAGCGACGGUGGGUUCCGGUGUCGAAAUUGAUACUUCCGAGAACCCGGAUCGGAAUGAUUAUCCGACGAUAAUCGUUUCGAUGUGAGGAUAUGUGUUUGCUGCCAGGUCACACAAAUUAUUGUGUUUGGUGGCAGCGGGUGACUCGUGGCAUGAGUCGGUGAGUUCCGGGGACAGUUCAUGGGUCCCUGCGGAGUCCCAGUGCGAUUUUCGGGACUUCCGGCGAGUUACAGUAAUCGGUGUAGGGGAAACCGAUUCUCGUGGAUUUACAGGUGGGAAUGUGAGUUUGUGUUUUAUAUACUUGGGUUGGAUUCUAACCCGGUGGACCCUCCGUAGGUCCGGUUUUCCUCCGCGGUCGAGAGACAUGUGCUACGUACGUACAAGUUGGUACUUCGACCCGAAGUCGGUACAGUGGUGAACGCUCGGUGACAUCCUUUCUACCCUUCUCCUACUAUCAUGUUGCAUUUUAUAUGUUGAGCAUUGCACCUUUAUUACCUCUUUAUCGCUCUACUUAGUUUGUAUCUAGCAUCAUGAGUAGAAGUAGAGCAGGUUUAUGAUUACAUGUGAGAUUUGUGACCUAAUCGAUCGGUUCUUGUAUUUCGUACUAUGACCUAUUCGGUCGGCUUAUUGCAUUGAGCAUUAUGACCUACUUGGUCGGUUGGACUACUUGGUGACCUGUACGGUCGGUACACCCUAAGGGGUAGGAUUGUCGGCUAGUUGCCGACAGUUGGCUAUUGAGCAUAUCAACAUCGAUCGCCACUGCUCGUACGCAUUUCACGAAUACCAGCGGUCUGAUCCAACGCAAUGGGGUGUUAUUUUCUGAAAAAGUGGUUGGGAAUGCCAGCUCGUGAGCCCAAGAGCUUAUGCUAGGGUUAUAUGGUUUCAGACCCACGAGCUUAUGCUAAGGUCAUAUGCCAUUCUGACCCAGGAGCUUAUGCUAGGGUCAUUUGCAGGUUUGAGUAGUUGUGGCACAGGCGUGAGGUCUACGGCCCGAUAUGUCAGGCUUAUGAUUGGGUACUUUUGGACUUGUCGUCCAGUUGAUGCAUGCAUAUAGUAGCGGUAGUGAGUUAUAUAUAUCUCGUCCCUUGCUUAUCUUUGCUACUGUAUUACCAUUACUUAUAUUUUGUUAUCCUCCUUGACUGGUGAGUACCCCUCGCCCUCGUCAGCUUGCGGUACCCACUGGGAGGGGAGACAUAUGUAUAUGUUCUCACCCCCUACCCCCUUUCUGGUGACGUCGCGGGUCGAAGUAGGGAUGGUUCGUGAGGCGCGCGUCCUAGCAAUCAAUAGGGCUACCGACCCGUCAUUUUGGUUAAUUUUCUUAACUGGACUUCUCAAAUAAUUAACUUAGUAUUUAUGAUUCAGUUGGUUUCAUGUUAAUUGGAUAAAUGGGAUUUUGUGAAUGUAAUAAAGAACGUAUGGAUUUCUUAUGAGAUGAAAACGGUUCUCUACCCCUUGUGGUAGCGUAUUUUAAAAGAAAAUGGUUUUCGUGUGGAAAACGGUUUUGAAAAGAUUUUUCUCGAUUUUCAUGACUCUUAGUGUUUCAAAAUGAGUUUCCGGGUAGUAAACGAUUUAAACUAAUAGAUAUGAAUAUAUGAAUAUCUAUGAUAAAAUGAAUGGUGAAUGUGAAUGGUGAAUGUAUGUGAGUGUCAUACUGUUGUGGUUGUAUCUUGUACUUGUGUGAUGCCGUGCAAAUACAGAGGAGACUCUGUUCGUUUGAACAAUGAAUUUCCUAUAUUUGUGGUGGAUCUGGCAUACUCUGGGGUGAAGGUUUUCAAAAAAAAAAAAAAAAAUAUUGGGCACUUCUCCAUUGACUUUUAAAUGAAAAAGGGACCCCGGGAUGUGACAUCGGUUGUCACGCCCCGCGCCCCGCCUAUUUGGUCAGGUUCGGGCACGCCGACAGACUGCCGAACGGACAGAGUUUUCCCUAUACGUCCUAAGCGUCGCAAUCAAAACAAUACAAGUGGUUCCAACCAGGAACAGUAUUCAAUCAUAGAUUGCAAAUGAAAGGUAUAACAACAUAACACAUCCUAUGUUAUUACAAGCAUUCCCAUUUCAUGCAUUUUACAUCUCAAUUACCAUUCAUUUUCAUCCAAAUGCAAUCAAGUUAUUACAUCACUUAUUUACAAGUUUUAGUACAUCUUGUUCUUUUCAUUUCACCCUACCCCUAGGCUAUGCCGACUCGGGGUACCCCUAUCUCUGGUCUCUGGGAUAGGGCGCUAUCUAUGGAGCUACGCCCUUGCCUCGCGCCACCGCGCCGCUCAUGUGCGAACCUGUAACACCCCAAAAUAAUGUGGGGUGAGAACCAACUCCAUGGUUCCCAGUGGAUACGGCCACCCAAGGAAAAAGCUCGACCGAUAGGUCCAAGGAGGCAUUGCAACAUGUUAGUCCAACAAUAUAGAACAGAUAUAUAUUCAAAUUGAAAUAUAUGUCAUGCCUCAUAAUAUGCAAUAUUAAAUCAUGCAACUAUGCAACUAAGCAGUUCACUAGUAGAUCCAUCGAUACUACUUUCAAUCUUGCAAAUCAUAGCUGAUGCCAUCUAGCUCUAGGUUCUACUUACCUUAGUUCCACAGCUCAGCCUCAACUAGUGUCUAAGGUCUCUACUGCCUUAGUUCAUAUCAUAUAUCACUAGCCUUUAAGGUUUCCACUAUCCACCCGACUCGCCUCGAGUCAAUCAUCGCAGACUACCGCGCACUGGCUGCACCGCAGCCUGGCUGCCGUCACAGCCCACUGCACCUCUUGACUAAGCCAUCUGCGGCGAACGCGUCGCCCUUACCCAAUAAGGACUCAAGUCAUGACUUAGCCAUCUGGCGGCGAACUAAUCGCAUCACACCCAACAAUAGUUCAGGUCACGACUCAGCCUUCUGGCGGUGUACGCAUCGCCUUUACCCAGCAUGGUUCAAGUCAGUCUAGACGGCAUCAUCCAAUAAGCUAAAUGGGCGAGGAGAACCAACAUACCCAUUUCAAGCUCAAGCUCAUGGCAUACCGGGCGAGGAGAACCAACAUACCCGUUGAAUCACUGCCAGGCGAGGAGAACCAACAUACCUGUAGAUAGGAUUCUAUUUAUGCCAAUACACUUACCGAGCGAGGAGAACCAACAUACCCGUUGAAUCACUGUCGGGCGAGGAGAACCAACAUACCCGCAGUUAGGAUUCACGUGCGCUCAGUCGCAAAUCUCAUUCGUUGCACUAGCAGCCUUCAUUUCCUAGGGAUUCCGGAAUCCAUUUCAGAACUCAAGGGUUGGUCUCAAACCCUAUAGUAUCGACCUAUCUAGGUCCGAUGUCCUUUCCACCCUAGGUCCAAUCGACUCUAGGUUCAACGCCUCUAUCACAUAACCUAGGUUUACUUUAACUCUAGGUUCAAUCCACAACGUAUGUUCUUUAACACUAGGUUCGAUGUCAACCUAUGUUUAACAACACUAGGUUCAUAUGUCAACCUAUGUUCAUGACACUAGAUUCAAUACAACCUAUGUUUACUAACACUAGGUUCGAUGCCACACACCUAGAUCCAUUUGACUCUAGGUUUAUUUACAACCUAUGUUCUUUAACACUAGGUUAAAUGCCACUCGAUCUAUUCGACAUCCUAGUUGUCCAAUCGAGCAUUCUAUAAUUCACAUGCAUAUAUAAUCUAGCAUAUCCUCACCAUUCUAAUCAUGUAUAUGUUACCAUGCAUUCAUCUCAAUGCCAACAUGCAUUAUUUAAUAGCCAUUAUGUUUAUUAUGCCUCUCCUAGCAUCAUGUAAUCAUGCAUUUACCUAGCAUGUAUUCCACCACGCAUAUAGAUAUUAACAUGCAUCUAUCUACUAGCGUAUGUCAUCAUGCAAUUAUCUAGCAUUUACAUAUCAUGCUCAUCAUGCAUUCUAUAUUAUGUCAUUAACAUGCAUUCGUAUAGUAUUAACUACAUGCAUCAUCUAGCAUUUACAUGCAUCAACAUGAAUUCACAUCUUUCUUAGACAUAAGGGCAACCUAGUCUGUAACACACUGGACCUUUGCAAAUUGCGAGGUUCGAGUGUUUGGAUGUAUUUCGAGCUUUUCCACACUUGGUGGAGGGUUGUAGAAUGUUUUCCGACCUAAAAAGUUCGAAAAUCGGAAUUCUGGAUAAGUCCUGAGAGUUUUUACUCUCGGGGACCGAUCCCUGGAAGGAGAGACCGGUCCCCCAAUGAGCAGUGUUGAGGCAGCCUGAGGCAACCGGUCCCUGGCAGGCGAGACCGGUCCCCGAGCGCGUCUUCGCAGAGAGAGACCGGUCCUGCGCGGGGAGAGACCGGUUCCCGAACGCUGGUUUUUCGGGUUCGCAGCGAGAGACCGGUCCCUGCUGGGGAGAGACCGGUCCCUCUGGGCGAAAACUGCCCAGACCGGGCUGUGGUAAUAUUGGAUUUUUGGAGGGCCUAGCUGGAUUUUGUUACAAUAGAGGGUCUAUAUGACCCCUCCACCCUCUCUUCUCCUCAUUUCUCUUCUCUCAACUCUCUCCACACCCUUGAUAGAGAAGAAGAAGAAGAAGAAGAAGGAGAAGAAGGAGGGAAGGAGAAGAAGUUUGGAGUUACUAGUGGACUUGGAGCAUCUUCCUCACCCUUUCAUCUUCCUUGGUGCUUGAAGGCUUGGACUUGGGGCUUGCAAAGGGGGAGAUCUUCACCCUUGGAGCUUGGAUUGGAGUUUCUAAGGAGGUUUGUUACUCAUUCCCUCCCUUUAGACCUUGGAUUUGAGGUUUUAUUGUAUUGGAACCCUAGAAAUGAGAUUUAGGGUUGAUUUUGGGGCUUUUUGGUCUAGGGCUUUUGAGGCUAGAUUAAUUGGUUUAGAACCUUCCUUGGGCUUGGAUUGGAAGGGUUCUAGCUCUCUUUUGGAGCUUUGGAAGAGAUUUUGUGACGCCCCGACUUCCCAGGGGUCACCCAUCCUAGGACUACUCCCGUCCUAGCACGCUUAACUCUCUUAACCUCUUGGGCCUUGCCACCACCCAAAAUGCUUAAGCCGGGUUAAGAGUUUAGCCCUAUUAUAUCUCAUAUAUAGGACUAUCUGGGUUUCACAAUCUCCCCUCCUUUAAGCCCUGACGUCCUCGUCAGGCUCAAACUCACAAGUACCAGGCGAUGUGAGACUCAUCUCGCUAGCCCGUCAUCCAGACCCUGGCUCAGCCGAGACUCAUCUCACACUUCCGGCUGGUAAUUGGCUCUGAUACCAUCUGUGACGCCCCGACUUCCCAGGGGUCACCCAUCCUAGGACUACUCCCGUCCUAGCACGCUUAACUCUCUUAACCUCUUGGGCCUUGUCACCACCCAAAAUGCUUAAGCCGGGUUAAGAGUUUAGCCCUAUUAUAUCUCAUAUAUAGGACUAUCUGGGGUCUCACAGAUUUCUUCUCUUGAGGUGAGUUUUGGCCCUUUUUGCUUCUAGGUUAAUGUUUGAUCUUAUGGUUGGUCGUAAUGCCCUCGUAUCUCUUCGCUGAUCACUUUUAGGGUACUUUGAGGCUCGUGGACAACUCCGUUCGACGAAUCGAAGGAGCACGCGACGGUUCGGUGGGUUUGACCUAGCCUAUGAUAUGAGGAAUGCUCAUAUUUGGCAAAAUAUGUUUCGUAAAAUAGAAAUUCAUGCAUUUCCUUGUUUAAUGUAUUUAAUAUGAAUUUUAGAAUGCUUAACAUGCAUAUAUUAUGUAUAAUGAAAUUUUAGACCCCUAUGUGGUAGAGUGCAUGCAUGUGAGACUUAGCAUUCUAUUUAUGAUUGGGAACCAUGAUCCUUAUUAUGUAAAUGAACCUUGCUUUCAUGCAUUUAACCUAUAUGCCAAUUGUGACAUUAGGAAUGUUAGAAGCCUAGAGAGGGCUUGAGAACUUGGACUAUUUGAGAAUUGGGACAAUGUCAUAAAGAGGCAUUGGGCCCGGGUCAUGGUAAUCAUUGGUAUUGAUGUUUUAAUGGAAACAUAGAACAAGAUUUGGGCUUGAUCUGUUGUGAUGCUUAAGUGUCAUAAAGAGGCACUAAGCAAGUGAGUGUUGGGACAUCACUUAGAGACAUUGGGCUAGAUCCUUGGGAUGCUAGUGACCUUGCCAUGUUAGAGACAUGCGGAUAGAGUAUUUGAGACAGUGACCUUGCUUGUUUGCCAUUUGUGCUCAUUCGCACAUGCUUGUGAGGGUCGCUCCCUACAAGCCGGCACUCCGGAGUUAGCCUACGCGACUUAUGUUCGCUCGUGCGGUAUUGAGAAGCCUACGGGGUCGAGUGGGACAGACACAUUCCAAGAGUAGGGAUGUUGGGCUACCACAGGCACUUAGGCGGCACAAGCUGGACUACCUUUGGUAGGUCCUUAAUUGGAAAUGGAAAUCGAUACGGUGUUGAGAAUGGUUAAUCACAACUAGAUAGGUUUAGUAGUUGAGUUACAUUUAUAUGCUUUUAGCAUAGUGUUGAGACAUGUAGUAUACUUGAUAGUCUCCUUUUGCAUUAAAGCAUACUUGGUUGCCAUGACAGAACUUAUGCAUAAUGUAUUCAUAAAGGUUAAUGACAUACUACUUUGAUAUCGUAGAUGUACAUCACUAUGACAUCGUUUAUUCUCGAGUUUAAUAAUUUAGCAUUUUAAUUAUGCCUUUAUAUCGCGGUCAUUAUUGUUAUUAUUAUCGUACUCACCCUCUUCUUUUGGGGCCUAGUGGUGCAUAGUGCUGAGGUCAGUAAUUGCCCACUGGGAACUAUAAAUUAUAGUUCUCACGCCCUCUUUUUCUUGAUGUUUUUCAGAGCCUUCCACUCAGGGGGAGGCCAGGGACCGCGGGAAGGGAGUUGCUUCGAGCUAGCUUCCUUCGAGGACGAUUUGCUAGGUAGUCUACCUCUCGUUGUGUUUCUUUUUGGAGAGGUUGAGAGUUUUACCAGUGUACUACUGACCACCAUUUUUGUAUUAGAGGCUGAUACUGUAUAACUUAUGUUUACUUUCAUGUAUUAGUUAUGUUCUAUUACUAUUGGUGUAGAUGUUAGAACUUUACUCGCUCUGAUAUCAUUAGUUGCUAGUUAUUUCACUUCUUUUAUUUGUUCCAUCUCUUGCUUUUACUUUCGCUUUUCUUGUAGACGCCUUAUAUGUGUAGACAUAUGGCGGGUAUGGGCACGCUACCGGGAGGGCCUCCGCCGGUCCCGGGGCGUGACAGAUUAAUUUGGUAUCAGAGCCUAGGGUUGAGUCUUAGUGGACCUAGCGAACCUUAGGCCGGUUGGACAAUAGGAAUUAGGCUCGUGAGAGACGGGGUCUAAUUGACUUGUGAGCGAAAGUAUUUCGAUUGGGUUUAUGACAACUCUAAAAAGUUAGAGUUUGAUUGGAGUGUAUGGCUUCUAACUUCGCGGAGGGUUACGUUGGCGGCCGACAACGUAACAUCGGGAGCUAGUAGUGAAGGACACUUCCUUACUUUCGCAUGAUUUUGGGUUUCAUUGUUUCGAGCGGGGAAGCGAUAGCGUGGGUUAUUAACUUGCGCUUUUAUGUUUUGUAGUGACGAUGCCGAUUACACGUUCCCAGUCUGCCGGGGCGGAUGGUGCGGCACAUUCCGAGGAGGUCGAGACCUCCGCUACUUUCGGAUCUAGUGAGGUCCGUGACUUGAGGGCCCAGCUUGCGGUUCUCACUGAUCUGUUGGCGCAGCAGACAGCAGCGGCGCAGCGACAGGCUGCGGUGGCUCAGCGGCAGGAGGCGCGGAUGAAGCAUCUUGAGGACCUCCUACUUCAGCAGGCGGCAGCUUCUAGGGAGACCCAGGGCCCCACACCGCCAGCACCUGUGGUGGACGUCGCGCCGAGCGCGCAGUCCCCCGCGCCCAGUUCUUCCCGGGCGGCACCGACGACCGCACCUUGAGAGGAGGUGGCUGCGGUACCCCCAGUUCAGAGACCGGCCAUGGGAGCAGCUUUCCCCGUGAUGGCCGAGGGAGCCGAGCGGGAUCGGCUCAUGGAUCGCCUUAGUGAGUUUAGGAGGUGCAGCCCGAGGACGUUUGAUGGCGAGAACGUUGACCACUGGAUUGUUGAGAAGUGGUUGCUGCACAUGGAGAAGCUGUUUCGAGAUACCUUCGUUGAAGAGAGGGACAGAGUUUGGCUCGCCACUCACUUUCUGGACGGCGAGGCCUAUCGUUGGUGGUUGGAUAUCCAGGACAACCCCAACACCGACUUGGCAGCGGUUACUUGGACACGAUUCAAGGAGCUUCUACUGGCGCAUCACUUCCUACCAGCGUCAAGAGGAAGAUCGAGUAGGAUUUGCGCAGCUUGCGCCAGGACAAGCGGUCAGUGGCUGAGUACGAGAGGGAGUUCUCCCGGAUACUACACUGCGUACCGUUUGUUGUGAGGGAUGAUGAGGACAAGGCCCGCAUCUUUGAGCACGGUUUGCGGCCUUCUAUCUUCCGGUUGGUGCAGUCUUCCAACCUCCAGACCUACCGGGAGGUUGUGGAUCGAGCCUUGAUUGUGGAGGCAGGAGCGGCAGAUUUGCAGGAGCGUCGCGAGAGCUUGGAGAAAGGGAAGGGCAAGAGACCCGCGGCUGAGGGUGCGAGCCAGACGCACUCACGGAGGCAGCCGAGGCAUCCCAGGAGCAGGAGCCAGUCGCGGGGACGCGGCCAAUCUACCCAGCGAGGAGGACCCGAUCGUCGCCAGGUCCCCCGCUGCGUGAUCUGUGGUGGUCCUCAUUACCCGCGGCAGUGUUCACGCAGCCGGGGCAGGUGCUUCUUGUGUGGCCAGGAGGGCCACUUCCAGUUGGACUGCCCGAGGAGUCCAUUGCCAGCGCCAUCUGCGGCAUCUGCACCAGCAUCGCCAGGUCCCAGCAGGGGACAUCUGUUGCGCAUCACCAGGCAGGACGGCCGCCAGUUCUGCGACAGCCGGAGGGGUCACGACAGGCCCCGAGCGGGCGCAUGUACGCGGUUCAGACUAAGGAGGCGGCGGCAGCCGAGAAUGUGGUCGCAGGUAUCAUUUUACUUUAUGGUAUUCGAGCUAGAGCUUUGUUUGAUACCGGUGCAUCGCAUUCAUUCAUUGAUCGGCUGUUUGCCGAGCUGCAUGGCAUCCCACUUGUAUCCUUGUUGCAUCCGGGACGAGUUACUGUACCUGAUCACUCUUUGGAUAUUCGAGAGUUUUGCCCCAGUUGCCCCGUUCGGGUUGGAGAUUGGAUCAUGCCCGUGAACUUGUUAGCGUUGCAUAAACUCGGAGAGUUUGAUGUAGUGUUGGGCAUGGACUGGUUGACUAAGUACUAUGCCACUAUCGAUUGCAAAGAUCGAACAGUGAUUUUUAGAGAGCCAGGGCAGGCGGAGGUUGUGUACCGAGGAUGCCAGAGUUCGCUAUUUGCGAUGACGAUUAGCUCUUCUCGAGCUAGGCAGUUGAUUAGUAGAGGCUGCGUAGCCUACUUGGCUACUAUUGUGUUGCGGGGUGAGGAUGACGCCCCUAGGAUUGAGGAUAUUCCCGUAGUGCGGGGGUUUGGAGAUGUGUUCCCAGCGGAGCUUCCAGGCAUGCCUCCUGGUAGGGAGAUUGAGUUUGUGGUAGAUCUCGUCCCCGGGACUACCCCAAUCUCAAAGGUGUAACACACUGGACCUUUGCAAAUCGCGAAGUUCGAGUGUUUGGAUGUAUUUCGAGCUUUUCCACACUUGGUGGAGGGUUGUAGAAUGUUUUCCGACCUAAAAAGUUCGAAAACUGAAAUUUUGGACAAGUCCUGAGAGUUUUUUUUCUCUCGGGGACCGGUCCCUGGAAGGAGAGAUCGGUCCCCCAGUGAGCAGUGUUGAGGCAGCCUGAGGCAACCGGUCCCUGGCAGGCGAGACCGGUCCCCGAACGCGUCUUCGCAGUGAGAGACCGGUCCCGCGCAGGGAGAGACCGGUUCCCGAACGCUGGUUUUUCGGGUUCGCAGCGAGAGACCUGUCCCUGCUGGGGAGAGACCGGUCCCUCUGGGCGAAAACUGCCCAGACCGGGCUGAUGCAAUAUUGAAUUUUUGAGGGGCCUCUCCGGAUUUUGUUACACUAGAUGGGCUUAUUAGCCAUUUCCUCCUCUUCCCUCUCCCAUUUCUCUCAUUCUCACCCUCUCCCUACACUUUCUAGAGAGAGAAGAAGAAGAAUGAGAAGAAGAAGAAGAAGAAGAGCUAGCUUGAGGGAGCUUGGAGCUCAACCCCUUUCUCUCUUUUCCACCUUUGCAAGGCUUGGAGCUUGCUUGUAGAGCUUGGUGGUGGACCAAUCUUCAACCCUAGAAGAUUUGGAGCUUGUUUGGAGGCACCUUGGGAGGUUAGUACUUGGAUUCUACCCUUGAACCCUUGAUUUGGUAGGUUUUACCANCGAAACUUGACGAGUGCUUUUGUAAUUAAAUUACACACAAAAACAUCGUCCACUGAGAGUUUAGCUACACUACCAAACUCUCGGUGCUUACAAUAUUGGGACCUCUUGAGACUAUCUACUAUGCCCUAAGUGUGUAUACUCAUAAACAAUACAAGUUCACAUUCAAACGUACAAGAAUUGAAACCUCAUACGGUGGUUCAAUUGUGCCCUAAGAGAGCAUAUUCGCAAUGAAUACGUUUUCGCAAUCGGACGAGCCAAUAUUGGGACCUCAUGAGACUAUUCUACCAUGCCCUAAGUGUCACGCCCCGAGCCCCGCCAAUUUGGUCGGAUUCGGGUACGCCAAUAGACCGCCGAACGAACAGGAUUUUUCCUUUAUCUCGAACAGAGUCUCCCCUGUACGUCCAAGGCGUCACAAUCCAUACAAAGCGUGAGGUUCCAACCAGGAACAGCAUUCAAACAUAGAUUGCAUCAGGAAGGUAUCGAAAACAUAUGUUUGAUUGCAUCAGGAAGGUAUCGAAAACAUAAAUGCAUCUAUGCUAUUACAAGCAUUCAUCUUAGUAUUCAUUUUACAAUACAUUAUCUUAGAUUCUUACUUCCAAAUACAAUCCAGAUUUUACAAAUUAUUACAACAUUGUUCUUUUCUUUCUUUACAUCCCUAAGUAGCCAACUUAGGAUACCGCUAUCUCUGAUCUUAGUGGCAGGGCGCUAUCUAUAGAGCUACGCCUUUUUUUCGCGCCGCCGCGUCGCUCGCGUGUGAACCUGAAACCCCCAAACCGACGUGGGGCGAGAACUAUAUAAAUAUAGUUCUCAGUGGGUACGGCCACCCAAGGGAAGAGCUCAACCCACCAGGUCUAAAGGAGGCACUGCAACAUGUUAGUUCAACAAAUAUCCACAGAUAUAUAAUGCAAGUAUAGAAAUACAUGCUUAUGCCUCACAAUAUGCAAUAUGCGAAUUAUGCAAGUAGAUCUCUUGAUUCUACUCUUUAUUAUUUGUCGUUCUUUACUAUCAUUCGUUCUUUAUUCUUAGUCAUUCUUUAUUAUUGCUAUUCUUUAGUAUUAGCCAUUCUUUAUUCUUUAUCUUAGUCAUACUAUGCUCAUUUGUCAUUCUUUCCUAAGGUUAUUUUUACCUUAACCAACUAUGCCAGUCGACUCAGUCUUGAGUCAAUCAACCGCGGAUAAUCCGCGCUCUGUUAGGCUCGAGGCAAAGGACGUCUCACAUGCACCUCAGCCUUAAAUACACAAACAACAUCGCCAACAGGUCGCCCAGAACUGCGUACACCCGUGGUCAGGGAUCUUUCUGGUGGGAGGGAAAUAUGCCACACACACGCGCGGCCCAAGACCCCCGAUAGGGAGGGGAAUAUGCCAUACACACUAGCAAUCCAAGAUUCUUCCGGUGGAAGGGGAAUAUGCCACACACACUCGUAGCCAAUCUUCUAUAAGCUAAUCCUCGACGUUCUUCUGGUGGGAGGGGAAUAUGCCACACAUAGCCGCGGCCAAGAACUGUCGAGUUCACAAUUCCUUUGAUUCCGGAAUCCACUUUACAUAGCUCAAGGGUUGGUCUCACCCUAUAAUGUCGACCUAUCUAGGCCCAAGCCAUUACUCAACCUAAGUUUAACACAUUUGGUCCAAUGUCACUAUGUUCAUAGCCUAGGUUCUAUAACACUAGGUCUGACAUUCUCUACUACCUAGGUUCAUUUCACUCUAGGUUCAAUGCCACUCGUGUGAUAACAUAGGUUUACUUAACUCUAGGUGUCACGCCCCGCGACCACCCGCCUAUUUGGUCGGGCCGCAGCGCCGCCGACAGACCGCCAAACGGACAAGGUUUCCCCUGUACCGCGGACAGAGUCUCCACUGUACAUUCAAGGCGUCGCAAUCAAUACAAUGUACAAAGUUCCAACCAGGAACACAUUUCAAUCAAAGAUUGUAUAAGGAAGUAUUAAAAACAUAAUUUACUUGCUAUUACAAGCAUUCACAUUCACUAGAUAUAUUUUACAUCAUAAUUACACAUUUUACAUUUAACUUCCAAAUAUAAUCAUACUUUUAUUACAAAUUAUUACAAUCUUAUUCCUUUCAUUUUCUUACAUCCCUAAGUAAAGCUGACUCAGGGAACAGCUAUCUCUGGUCUCGGUGGUAGGGCGCUAACUAUGGAGCUACGCCCUCGCCUCGCGCCGCCGCGCCGCUCACGUGUAUACCUGUAACACUCCAAAACAACGUGGGGUGAGAACUAACUCCAUGAUUCCCAGUGGGUACGGCCAUCCAAGGGAAAAGCUCGACCAAUAGGUCCAAGGGAGGCAACUGCAACAAGUUUGUAACGCACUGGACCUUUGCAAAUUGCGAGGUUCGAGUGUUUGGAUGUAUUUCGAGCUUUUCCACACUUGGUGGAGGGUUGUAGAAUAUUUUCCGACCAAAAAAGUUCGAAAAUUGGAAUUCUAGACAAGUCCUGAGAGUUUUUACUCUCGGAGACCGGUCCCUGGAAGGAGAGACCGGUCCCCCAGUGAGCAGUGCUGCGGCAGCCCUGAGGCAACCGGUCCCUGGCGAGCGAGACCGAUCCCCGAGCGCGUCUACGCAGUGAGAGACCGGUCCCACGCGGGGAGAGACCGGUUCCCGAACGAUGGUUUUUCAGGUUCGCAGCGAGAGACCGGUCCCUGCUGGGGAGAGACCGGUCCCUCUGGGCGAAAACUGCCCAGACCGGGCUGAUGCAAUAUUGGAUUUUGAGGGGCCUCUUGGGAUUUUGUUACAAUAGAGGGUCUAUAUGACCCCUCCACCCUCUCUUCUCCUCAUUUCUCCUCUCUCAACUCUCUCCACACCCUUGGUAGAGAAGAAAAAGAAGGAGAAGGAGAAGAAGGAAGGAAGAAGAAGAAGAUUGAGAGCUUUUAGAGGACUUGGAGCAUCUUCCUCACCCUCUCUUCUUCCUUGGUGCUUGGAGCUUGGUCUUGGAGCUUGCAUAGGAGGAGAUCUUCACCCUUGGAGCUAGGAUUGGAGCUUCUAAGGAGGUUGGUUGCUCAUUUCCCUCCUCUAGAUCUUGUUUUGCUAAGUUUUUGAGAUGAAACCCUAGAUUUGAUACUUAGGGCUUAUUUUUGGGCAUUUUUGAUCUAGGGCUUUUGCACCCAAAUUAGUUGGUUUAGAACCUUCCUUGGGCUUGGAUUGGAAGGGUUCUAGCUCUCUUUUGGAGCUUUGGAAGAGAUUUCUUCCCUUGAGGUGAGCUUUGGCCCUUUUUGCUUCUAGGUUAAUAUUUGGUUUUAUAUGAUGAUCGUAAUGCCCGUGUAUCUCUUCGCUCAAUCCUUUUAGGGUAUUUUGGGACUCGGGGACAACUUUGUUCGGCGAAACGAGGCCCUACGCGACGGUUCGGUGGGUUUGACCUAGCCACACAAUGAGAAAUUCUCAUAUGUGCUUAAUUAAGUAUCGUUAAAUGAAAAAGCAUGCAUAUUCUUGUUACAUGUAUUUAUUGUGAAUUUUAGAAUGCUUAAAAGGCCUAUGUUAUAUAUGAUGAAAUUUUGGACCUCUAUGUAGUAGAGAGUAGUUUGGUAGGCCUAUAGUUGCAUUUAGCAUUCCAAAUGAGACGUGGUUUCAUGCUCCUAUAGUGUAAAUGAGAUUGGAUUCAUGCAUUUAAACCUAAGUCUAUUGAGACAUGAAAGUUGACAAGAUUGCCAUUUAGAAGGUAUGUGAACUAGAGAGCUAAUGUCAUCAAGCGGCAUUGAGCUCGGGACAUGUGAGAACCUAGUGGAUAGGGCCAUUGAGGGAUUUGGGAUACAUGUUGAACAUCAAAUUGCCUAAGUGUCAUCAAGGGGCACUAGGCGUAGCAAAUGUUGAAACUUCACAUUGUGACUUAAACUAGAUCUUCGGGAUGCUAGUGACUAUACCAUGUUAGAGACAUGAGGAUUGGAUACUUGAGACUUGGACUAUGCUUGCUUGCCAUUUGUGCUCAUUCGCACAUGCUUGUGAGGGUCGCUCCCUACAAGCCGGCACUCCGGAGUUAGCCUACGCGACUUAUGUUCGCUCGUGCGGUAUUGAGAAGCCUACGGGGUCGAGUGGGACAGACACAUUCCAAGAGUAGGGAUGUUGGGCUACCACAGGCACUUAGGCGGCACAAGCUGGACUACCUUUGGUAGGUCCUUAAUUGGAAAUGGAAAUCGAUACGGUGUUGAGAAUGGUUAAUCACAACUAGAUAGGUUUAGUAGUUGAGUUACAUUUAUAUGCUUUUAGCAUAGUGUUGAGACAUGUAGUAUACUUGAUAGUCUCCUUUUGCAUUAAAGCAUACUUGGUUGCCAUGACAGAACUUAUGCAUAAUGUAUUCAUAAAGGUUAAUGACAUACUACUUUGAUAUCGUAGAUGUACAUCACUAUGACAUCGUUUAUUCUCGAGUUUAAUAAUUUAGCAUUUUAAUUAUGCCUUUAUAUCGCGGUCAUUAUUGUUAUUAUUAUCGUACUCACCCUCUUCUUUUGGGGCCUAGUGGUGCAUAGUGCUGAGGUCAGUAAUUGCCCACUGGGAACUAUAAAUUAUAGUUCUCACGCCCUCUUUUUCUUGAUGUUUUUCAGAGCCUUCCACUCAGGGGGAGGCCAGGGACCGCGGGAAGGGAGUUGCUUCGAGCUAGCUUCCUUCGAGGACGAUUUGCUAGGUAGUCUACCUCUCGUUGUGUUUCUUUUUGGAGAGGUUGAGAGUUUUACCAGUGUACUACUGACCACCAUUUUUGUAUUAGAGGCUGAUACUGUAUAACUUAUGUUUACUUUCAUGUAUUAGUUAUGUUCUAUUACUAUUGGUGUAGAUGUUAGAACUUUACUCGCUCUGAUAUCAUUAGUUGCUAGUUAUUUCACUUCUUUUAUUUGUUCCAUCUCUUGCUUUUACUUUCGCUUUUCUUGUAGACGCCUUAUAUGUGUAGACAUAUGGCGGGUAUGGGCACGCUACCGGGAGGGCCUCCGCCGGUCCCGGGGCGUGACAGAUUAAUUUGGUAUCAGAGCCUAGGGUUGAGUCUUAGUGGACCUAGCGAACCUUAGGCCGGUUGGACAAUAGGAAUUAGGCUCGUGAGAGACGGGGUCUAAUUGACUUGUGAGCGAAAGUAUUUCGAUUGGGUUUAUGACAACUCUAAAAAGUUAGAGUUUGAUUGGAGUGUAUGGCUUCUAACUUCGCGGAGGGUUACGUUGGCGGCCGACAACGUAACAUCGGGAGCUAGUAGUGAAGGACACUUCCUUACUUUCGCAUGAUUUUGGGUUUCAUUGUUUCGAGCGGGGAAGCGAUAGCGUGGGUUAUUAACUUGCGCUUUUAUGUUUUGUAGUGACGAUGCCGAUUACACGUUCCCAGUCUGCCGGGGCGGAUGGUGCGGCACAUUCCGAGGAGGUCGAGACCUCCGCUACUUUCGGAUCUAGUGAGGUCCGUGACUUGAGGGCCCAGCUUGCGGUUCUCACUGAUCUGUUGGCGCAGCAGACAGCAGCGGCGCAGCGACAGGCUGCGGUGGCUCAGCGGCAGGAGGCGCGGAUGAAGCAUCUUGAGGACCUCCUACUUCAGCAGGCGGCAGCUUCUAGGGAGACCCAGGGCCCCACACCGCCAGCACCUGUGGUGGACGUCGCGCCGAGCGCGCAGUCCCCCGCGCCCAGUUCUUCCCGGGCGGCACCGACGACCGCACCUUGAGAGGAGGUGGCUGCGGUACCCCCAGUUCAGAGACCGGCCAUGGGAGCAGCUUUCCCCGUGAUGGCCGAGGGAGCCGAGCGGGAUCGGCUCAUGGAUCGCCUUAGUGAGUUUAGGAGGUGCAGCCCGAGGACGUUUGAUGGCGAGAACGUUGACCACUGGAUUGUUGAGAAGUGGUUGCUGCACAUGGAGAAGCUGUUUCGAGAUACCUUCGUUGAAGAGAGGGACAGAGUUUGGCUCGCCACUCACUUUCUGGACGGCGAGGCCUAUCGUUGGUGGUUGGAUAUCCAGGACAACCCCAACACCGACUUGGCAGCGGUUACUUGGACACGAUUCAAGGAGCUUCUACUGGCGCAUCACUUCCUACCAGCGUCAAGAGGAAGAUCGAGUAGGAUUUGCGCAGCUUGCGCCAGGACAAGCGGUCAGUGGCUGAGUACGAGNUUUUACCUAAACUUCGUGGCACCGUGUAUUGGCUUCUGGAAAUUAAAGGCCUAGCACCUAACCUCCGGCAAGCCCACCGGCGCGCUCCCUAGCCCGGUUUGGCUCACGGCCCACGGCGCCCUCCGGCUAACGUUCACAGCUGUUCGUUAGCCUUAUGCUUUACUCCACCCAACACGAAUGGCUUUGCUGAUCCAGCGGAGAUACAGAUUCUCUUUACUCUAAAGUAUAACUACGUACAACUGUAUAUUAUAUUUUACGGUCUCCUUACGUAUAACUGUAUUAUAUUCUUACACUUUUCUUACGUACAAUUGUAUAAUAUCAAUUACGAAACUUACGUAUUCUAUUUCCCGUAUACUUACAAUUGUAAUAUUCUUAUAUGAUUUUUCUUACGUAUUUCUAUACAACAUCUUGUACGAUCUACCUACAUUAUAUCUUUACGUUCUUACGUACUAUUACAUUACAUUUCUUACGAUCAAAAGUAUUCGUAUAGUAUACAUAUACGGUCUAUUAAUGUACUUCCAAUCGUAGUACUCCUGAUACUUUAUGAGCUUAACCUGUUGAUCCUACAGUUGAUCUAGCUCACCGUAACUUAGAUCACAAUUAUUUGUAUCCAACCUGUAACUUGGAUCACAAUUAUUUGUAUCCAACCUGUUCUUACUGUAACUUGGAUCACAAUCAUUUGUAUCCAACCUUAGUACACACCGUAAUUUGUUUAUAUCCAACCUUAGUACACACCGUAAUUUAGAUCACAAUUUCUUGUAUCCAACCUGUACUUGGAUCAUAAUUUCUUGUAUCCAACCUGUACUUGGAUCACAAUUUCUUUCAUCAAUUUAUUCCAAAUUGGGUUUCACUGUAACACCAAACCAUAAUCGCCAUAUACGUACUAAUCCAUUUUGGAUAGUAACCGUAACUCCGUAUCUCUAUACCUUGUCCAACCGAUAUGGAGGAGUUUAACUCCUACCCUAGCAUGAGUGUACAUAGCCAAGGCCGAACACGCUCCAGCGAGGAGAUGUCCGCCACAUGAGGCCUCAUAUCUGUGGUGCCCACUCUCACGGGCCGCUUCUAGGGAGGCCACUAUCACGGAACACGGAAGGAGCCAUCUACCCUACCUAGGGAGCCCCCGUAAAGGAAUACGAUUAAGGCCAUCUACCCUGUACACUCUACACUCGAACCCCGCUUGAACUACUUGGGGCCUUCCUAACCCAUUUGCGGUUUCACUUACACACUUUCAAACUCAAUACCUAAACCAUGAGGUAAACUCCAUGAGUUUACGAUAUCGCCUCGGCCCUCCAGGCAGAAACGAAGCCUAAACGUGCGUUUCUUUAAUAGCUUCGCAACGGCUCGACGAAUCGCCGAACCGACUCUGCCAACGCGUUCGUUUACCUAGCAAUUAGGUUUACAGAGGGUCAAAUGAGAUCAAACCCUCAUAUUUACAAAACUAGCAUUUUUGAGCCCUAGAUUACAACUAGGUAAAAAUCCAUUGUUUAGCUUCAUGAAUCAUGCAUUAACCAUCUAUUUAGCAUCCUAGGAUUUCUCUAAAUCCAUUCUUAGAGCAUAUAAUUAAGACUCUAAAGGUCUACCAUGAGAGGGUUCAAAAAACACAUUUCAAGCCCUAGGUUUACAACUAGGCAAGAAAUCAUUAAAUUGAUCCAUGAUUUAAGCAACAAUCAUCUCUUUAGCUUGCUAGAAUAACUCUAAAUCCAUUCUUGAAGCUUAAAACCCAAACUACAAGGAGACACCAUUAAAGGGUUUUGGAGCUUACCUUUAGAGCUUGCUUCUCAUGCAAGGAAGAAGAUGGAGAAGAUGAAAAUCCAUCCUUGAGCUUCAAUCUCCACCAAAACCCUCUCUUUUCGGAGAGAUUUAGAGAGAGAAAGGAGAGUUCUCUUCCUCUCUCUCCUUGCGUGUGUGUGGCGUGUGUGUGUGUGCGCAUUCGGCUGAGGAGGAGAAGGAGAAAAGGGAUUAAAUCCCUUUUUACAAAUCAGCCCCUCAACUAUUACACUAUUCACCUCGGGCAGCAGUUUAGCAGUUCGAAAUAGUUAGAGUCCUUCUGAAUGUCCGUUUGAGCUCAAAUUUGACAGACAGGCUCAGUUUAGCGUACCGAGUAAGAAUAUAUUUUAAGUUUCCAGUUUCGACCCCAUUUGGUCACCGAAAACUGUACCGAAUUGUCACUACAAGAAAAUAUAGUAUUGGUGGCAAAAAUAAGGUGGCAACCAAAUUUAUCGCCAUUAUAUAGUUACCUAUGGUGGCGAUAGGAAAAAUCGCCAUUAAUUAAUUAACUUAAAGUGGCGAUUCUGGUUUCACCACUAAAUGACCAUUUUAUCGCCACUAUUUGAUUAUCUAUAAUGGCGAUAAAAAAAAUUGCCACCAAUUAAUUAAUUUAAAGUGGCGAUGGCAUUUUUACCACUAAAAUUACUAUUUUGUCGCCACUAUUUUCUUAUUUAUGGUGGCAAUAAAAAAAAUCUCCACCGAUUAAUUAACUUAAAGUGGCGAUUCUAACCUCACCACUAAAUUACUAUUUUACUCCCACUAUUUAAUUAUUUAUGAUGGUGAUAAAGUAAAUCGUCAUUAUUUGGUUAGCUAUAAUGACAAUAAAAAAAAAAUAUUACCACCAAUUAAUUAAAUUUAAUUUACUUUUUUAAUUAAAUUAAAUUAAUAUUUUAAUUUAAUUUUAAAAUUACUAAUUUAAUUUUUAAAAAAUUUUAAAAAAAUCUCACUUCCCUCAGCUUACCUGCCCCUCUCCUCUCCACUUCCUCUCAGCUACUCUAGAAAAAACCCAAACCCCAUUUCGCCCGCUCCUCUUUGACGAUCUCUCGUCGGCGAGCUCGUCACGACGAACUCCUCGCCGGCGAUCUCGUCACCGGCGAGCUCCUCACCGGCGAUCUCGUCACCGGUGAGCUCGUCACCGGCGAGCUCCUCAUCGGCGACAUAGGCGACAAGCACCUCGCCGGUGAGCUAUGCAACGAGCUCCUCAUUGCUAAUUUUCUUUCCGACGAGCCCUUCAAAACGAAGCUUCUUCUCGCCGAGCUCCUCGCAAGUGAGUCCCUCACUGCCGAUCUCCUCGCCGAUAAACCCUCUCCUUUCGCUUCUCUCUUCCACUCCAAACCCUCACCGCAGAUCUAUAUGCACUUCUCGUUGCUUCUUUGCGGCUUGUUUUGAUCUCAGUAAUUAGAUAGUCUAUAAUGCAGAGUUGGAGCAACCCUGUAUACCAGAUUGAUCUACUUUUCAUCAGGUUUAUCAAUUAGGAAAGGUGAAUAUUUAAAAGACACUUAGGUAAUUAAGGCUAGCUAUUAAUUCAGCAUGUACACUUAACUAACCGAAAGUUUGCUAGUAACUAUGAAAUUUCUAGUUAAUCUUUUAUUAGAGGCAUACGAAAUGCAAGAUUCAAAUUAGUAUGUUUUACUUACUGCUGAAACUAAUCAAUGCAAUUACCAGUGCUGCAUCAGGAGUUCAAACAAUGCAAUUUCCAGUCCUUUUAUGGCAGUGUUUUUGAGUUUUAUGUUGGCUUGGAGAUGUUAUAACAAAGUUUCAUGUAGGUGAUUCAAUGCAUAUAAGAACCUACUUUGAUUUGUGGGCCAUGUAAUAUGAUAAAUGUCAUUCUUCAAUUAUGAAACAAGUCGUGUCUACUUAAGUCAUGCUUUCUGCUUUUGUUUCCGGCUUAAUUAUGUGAACUCCUAAUCUUAUAUGCUAAUUCUGCUUUUGUUUUCAGCUUAAUUAUGUAAACUCCUAACCUUGUAUGCUGAUUUGAAUAUGGUGUGUUUUAUUUUGUUGGUUUCUUUGUUGUGAGUCUCGACUGAUAUGGAUGUCUUGAAAACAAUAUACAAGACCAGAUACUAGUGGAAAGUUAUUUAAUGUUCAUUUCAAGGUUUAGGAGUUCUAUUCUAAAAACCGUAAUGAAUAAUUAAUUUGCGAGUUUGAUGAGUCAAAAGGGUGGUGAUUUUCUAUUUCGGGUGAUGUAAUGUUCCUUCUAUUUUUUUUUCUUUUUUCUGUUUUUGCAUCGACGGUCAACCCUUGUGCUGUAGUAUUAGAUCUGAAAACCGGAAGAUUAUGAGAAUUUUCUUGUCUUGCAAUUGGGUGGUCUGCUUUCACCUUUGCAGUUGUGAAAUCUACAUUAGUAUAAAAUUCAUAGCAGUGUAACUAGAAAGAAAAUUUUCUACUCAAUGGAUUCCUAGAUAGUAGUAUAUGUGUAAGCCCUAUUAAUUCCUGUAUGAAUUGCACCCAUAGGGUUGGUGUUUCAGGGCUUAACAAAUGAACUGAAGCCAUUGAACAACAAUUAUCUAAUCUUUGUUCAUUACAACAUAUAAUAUAUAAUUAUCUGUUCUAUCUAAGAUAUACUUUAAAAUAUGCACCUAAAGAAUGGUCUUUAGAUACCAUACGAAAACUAAAAAACAACUAUGAUUUCCACUCAUGUCUCGCCAUUUUAAGAUAGUAACCAAGUAACUUCACAUUACAACAUAUAAUAUGUAAUUUACUUGGUUGCUGCUACUUUACUGUAAGGGCGCGUUUGGUUCGUACUAUAAAAGAUUACUAGGAGUAAAAAGAUAUCCGAGAAUCUUAUUCCUAUUCAUUCUAUUACUAAAAAUGUAGUAUUUCGGUGUCUCUAUAACCUUCUGCCUAAAAAGUUCCAUCAAUUUCAUCUCUACACUUCACAUCGUCUCAAAUAAGCUUAAAAAUUUUGAAUGGCCAUCGAAUUCAGAAACAAAACUGUACUAUAGAUGUUACGUCGAAUCGAUAGGAUCUAAAACUAGAUAAAAGAGAUAUCUUUGUAUACUACAGCUACGAAAACUUAGCAGUUCAUUGGACAAUUUAGUCAAUUAAAUUAUUCAACCUCUAUUCAAUAUUUCAACAUCAUCAAUCACCAACUCAUUUCUUACACUAUAAAGAGUUGACAUCUUUAGGUAUGGAGAACAUAUCAAAUUAACAUCUCAUACCCAUGUGCUUAAUUCUUAGCUCUAACAAGAAGGUAGAGAUAUUAUUGCAAUAAUAUAUUUGUUAAUAAUUUAUGCUUUUUGUAUAUGAUACGACUAACACAUUCUUAGCAGGACAAUGGGAAUAGACAAAAGUUGGAUGAUCAUCCAAGAUAGAUCUCUUAUUGAGUAUGAAAUGGGUGUUGACGCAUUCUUGGAUUAUGCUUUCAAUCAACUAGGAGAUGUUAGGGGAAUUCGUUGCCCUUGUACUAAAUGCAAUAAUGUCAUAUUUAAGACACGUGAUGAGGUGAAAGCCGAUUUAUUUUUCAACGGAGUGACUCAAUCUUAUACCACGUGGCAUCAUCAUGGUGAAUCAUCUGAUGAAUCCGAUACUAAUGAGCUAGUAGAUGAAGACAUGUCAAGUGAUGACGGGCGUGGGGACAUUAAUAGAAUGGUGGAGGAUAUGUUUGCACAUAAAGGGAAUGUGGAAACUAGUGAAGCAGGAAAGGAGUCCAUAGGAUGUGAGCAAUCUAAUAUUGAUGCACAAAACUAUUUUCGCCUUUUAGAAGAAUGUGAACAAGAUGCUUAUCCUGGGUGUAAGAAAUAUUCUAAGUUGAAGUUUCUAGUGACUUUGCUAAAUUUGAAAUGCCUCAAUGGAUGGACGGACAAAUCAGUUACAAUGUUGUUGGAGUUUCUUAAGGAUUUUUUGCCUGCUGAUGCAAAUAUUCCCAAAUCAUACUACGAAAUGAAAAAUAUUAUUAAAGACUUGGGUCUUCAUUAUAUUAAGAUUGAUGCAUGUAAAAAUGAUUGUGUUCUUUAUCGGAAGAACCUUGAGGAUGCCACUAAAUGCCCAACUUGUGGUGAGUCUAGNNNNNNNNNNNNNNNNNNNNNNNNNNNNNNNNNNNNNNNNNNNNNNNNNNNNNNNNNNNNNNNNNNNNNNNNNNNNNNNNNNNNNNNNNNNNNNNNNNNNAGAGCGAGUUCGCUCAUCUGGGCCAGACCAAGUACAUACGCCCGCUCGGGGCUCUGUCGUGACCCCUCCGUGCUGCCCGCUGGAUAGGUCCAAAAAUGGAGUCCUGGUGGAGUGCCAGAAGAGGUCCCGCUGUCUGGACCCUGCGAAUGCUGGGCAAGGAUGCCGCAAUGGCAGGCGGCAAAGGACUCCUCAGGGCAGUCCGAGCCUGAAGUGGCGACUCAUGCUGGCGCACGACGAGAAGCACCGCGCCGCCGGCUGCGCAUUACACUGUCGUGGGUAAUGAUGGGGCCGCCCACAGAUCACAGGCGGGUACGGGGAGGCCUACGCGAGAACGGCUCCGGGGUCUCCUGACUUUGAGUACUGGCCGCGGUCGAUCGGGAGGAGAGCGGUACGGACGGCAACCUGGCUCCGCUCUGGGGAGAUGCUCGGCGGCCUCCGCUGAUGCACGUGUCUGACUCGCACCCCUCAGCCGCUGGCGAGCAUCUCCCUGCUUCCCUUUCAUCCAGCUUUCGCAAGGGACGCUCUCUGGGCAGAUCCCCGCCGCUGCUCAACUAUCAAUGCUGCGAUUCCAGCAACCUCCCGUAGUCUGUGAGUUGGAAGAACUGCACCAAGCCGGAAGAUGAAGAACCGCACACCGCGCUCAAAGAUGCGGGCCUGUCGGAUACGGUCGUCCGUACCACAAAAGGCACACAGUGGAGUAAUCGAGAAAACUCCAUCUCGUACUCAACUACGGACCGCUCAUCCUGGCGCAAACUGCGCAAGUCCUGCUCCAUCUUCCUCUUGACGCUAGUAGGAAAGUAGUGCGCCAGAAGAAGCUCCUUAAAUCGCGUCCAUGUGAUCGCUGUCAAGUCGGUGCUGGGGUUGUCUUGGAUAUCCAACCACCAACGGUAGGCCUCGCCGUCCAGAAAGUGAGUGGCGAGCCAAACUCUAUCCCGCUCCUCCACAAAGGUAUCUCGAAAAAGUUUCUCCAUAUGCAUCAACCACUUCUCAACAAUCCAGUGGUCGACAUUCUCGCCAUCAAACAUCCUCGGGCUGCACCUCCUGAACUCACUGAGGCGCUCCAUAAGCCGAUCUCGCUCGGCUCCCUCGGCCAUCACGGGGAAAACCGCCCCCGUCACCGGUCUCUGCACAGGGGGUACCGCAGCCACCUCCUCCCGAGGUGUGGUCGCCGGUGCCGCACGGGAAGAACUGGGCGCAGGGGACUGCGCCCUCGGUGCGACGUCCACCACGGGUGCUGGCGGUGUAGGGCCCUGGGUCUCCCUCGAAGCUGCCGCCUGCUGAAGUAGGAGGUCCUCCAGAUGCUUCAUCCGCGCCUCCUGCCGCUGAGCCACCUCAGCCUGUCGCUGCGCCGCUGCCGUCUGCUGCGCCAAUAGAUCAGUGAGGACCGCAAGCUGGGCCCUCAAGUCACGGACCUCACUAGAUCCGGAAGUAGCGGAGGUCUCGACCUCCUCGGGGUGUGCCGCAUCAUCCGCCCCGGCAGACUGGGAGCGUGUAAUCGGCAUCGUCACUACAAAGCAUAAAAGCGCAAGUUAGUAACCCACGCUAUCGCAUCCCCGCUCAAAUAGAUAAAACCCCAAAUCAUGCGAAAGUAAAGAAGUGUCCUUCACUACUAACUCCCGAUGUUACGUUGUCGGCCGCCAACGUAACCCUCUGCGAAGUUAGAAGCCAUACACUCCGAUCAAACCCUAACUUUUUAGAGUUGUCAUAAACCCAAUCAUAAUACUUUCGCCCACAAGUCGAUUAGACCUCGUCUCUCACGAGCCUAAUUCCUAUAGUCCAACCGGCCUAAGGUUUGCUAGGUCCACUAAGACUCAACCCUAGGCUCUGAUACCAAAUUAAUCUGUCACGCCCCGGGACCGGCGGAGGCCCUCCCGGUAGCGUGCCCAGACCCGCCAUAUGUCUACACAUAUAAGGCGUCUACAACAAAAGCGGAAGUAAAAGCAAGAGAUAGAACAAAUACAAGAAAUGAAAUAACGAGCAACUAAUGAUAUCAGAGCAAGUAAAGUUCUAUCAUCUAUACUAAGGUAAAGAAAUAAAGCUAGUCAUAAGUAGUACAAAAAUGGUGGUCUCUAUACAUAUGCGGGUACAUCUCUCAACCUCUCACAAAAAGAAAACACGAGAGGUAGACCACCUAUCGAACGGUCCCUCGGUAAGCGCGCUAGCCCGAGGCGAUACCCUUUUCGCGAUCCCUGGCCUCACCCUGAGUGGAAGGCUCUGAAAAACAUCGAGAAAAAGAGGGCGUGAGAACUAUAAUUUAUAGUUCCCAGUGGGCAAUUACUGACCUCAGCUCUUGCUCCACUAGGCCCCAAAAACAAGGGUAAGUAACGAUAAUAAUACAAGCAAUAAGGAGCAUAUACAUAAACUGCUGAAAGAAAGCAUAAUUGGAAUGCUAGUCUACUGUGUCUCAAACAAGCAUGAUGUCAACCAAAAUGUACAUCUAUUCUAUCAUUACGAUUAAGUCCAAUCACACUAGUUUAAUGUUGUUAACCUUUGUCAAUACAUAAUGUUGUAGUUCUAAUAUGGCAACCAAGUAUACUACAAGUCUCACACUAUGCUAAAAGCAUGUAAAUGUAACCCCAACUACUAAGUCUAUCUAGUAGUGAUCAUUCAUCCUCAACCCCGUGUCGAUUUUCAUUUCCAAGUAGGGACUUACCCAAGGUAGUCCAGCUUGUGCCGCCUAAGUGCCUGUGGUAGCCCGACAUUCCUACUCUUGGAAUGUGUCUGUCCCUACUACUACCAAACCGUAAGCUCCUAAAAACCGCACGACGAUCAAAAGUCGUGCAGGCUAAACGUCCGGAGUCCGUCUUGUAGGAGCGACUCUAACAAGCAUUGGCGAAGACGCACAAAUGCAAGUCAGCAUAGCCAAGUCUCAAAUACCAAUCCUCAUGUCCUAACAUGGACUAUAAGUAGCAUUCCGAAAUAUCUAAGUCUAAGUCCACAGUGAAUUUCAAACAUGCUACGACUAUGCCUCUUGAAUGAACUUAGGCAAUCGAUGUUCCAACGCGACGUUUUCCCAUCUCUCACAAUGGCCUAUAAACCAGCUAGUGUCGGGGUUCUCACAAUCUCGAGCUCAAUGCCGCUUGAUGGCAUUACCUCUCUCAUACGCAUGAUAUCAAGUCGAAUUCCUUACAUAAAAGCAAAUUGUCAUCUUUCAUGUCCAAAAUUUAACCUAGUUUAAACGCAUGAAUCGAUUAGCUCAUUUACUUUUAAGAACCAUAUGAAAAUCAAAUCAUCAUAUAGAAUGCACAUCAACCAAGAUCUAUCAACGACAACGUCUCUAACUACAUAAGUCCAAAAUACCAUCAUAUAUAACAAUGUCAUUUUAAGCAUUAAAAAUCAUAAUAAAUACAUAAUAGAAAAGCAUGAAUAAUAGUAACAAAGCACUAUCACCAAAUAGUGAGAUUUUCUAUAUCAAAGCUAGGUCAAACCCACGACGAAACACGACUUUUAUCGUUUGCUGGAAACGGAGGUUUCCACACUUUCUAGCACCCAGUAACAUCAAAAUGUGUCAUCCAAUUCGAUAACGAAAGCGAUAAGCUGUCGAUCAUUAACCAAAGAAGCAAAAGGGCCUAAACUUCACCUCAAGAGUAAAAUCUUCUCCUAAAGCUCAAAGAAGAGACUAGACACCUCCAAUCUAAGACCUCUAAAUAAGUCUAAUCCAGACACAAUAGCUCAAGCCCAAAAACGAAAAUGCCGCAAAAUAAACCCUAAAAUCUCCCAAAUCUAGGGUUUCAUCUCAAUGAAACUUUACAAAACCAAAUAAGGAAAGAUCCUGCCACUACCUCUAGAACUCAAAAAACACUCAAAGUCCUCACCUUCAAGUAACUUCCCUCAAUCAAACUCCAAAAUCCGAAGUCCCAAACUACCAAACAAUCGUGAAAUAAGCUCCAAAGGAAAAAAAGAAGAAAAUCCAAUCAAGAACAUGCAAAAAGGAAUCAAAUCCCAAAAGAUUGUGUUGGAGCUCCCUAACCUGGUUCUCCACUCUUCUCAGCCCAGGGGAGAGCCCUAGGGGCGUGGGUGCUGAUAUAAGAAGCCCACAAUCGCAAAUAAGCCCCUGCAGAGCAAACUGUGCAGAUUCUGCCUCCUUGUACCGGUACACGGGAUCUUGUACCGGUACAAGAGCUGCGAAAAUCCAAAUCCGAGGCUCAGGUGCGCGGUCCUGCGGCACUGUACCGGUACAGGCCCGAUGGCUGUACCGGUACAACCAUCAACAUUGUACCGGUACAAGACCAUCCUUGUACCGGUACAAGACCUGCGAAAAUGCAAACCGAGGCUCGGGUUUGCGAGUUCUCGGCUCUGUACCGGUACAAGCACAACCUUGUACUGGUACAAGCCCGCCAGACAGCCAAUCCGAGAGCUGACCAAAAUCCAAAUUUUUGGGUUUUGGUGCAAGGCUUCGUACCACACUCCUCGGGACAUGUGCCAUAGGUCGGAACACAGUCAACGACCUACCAGAAAUCUGGAAAGGCUCAGAGCACGACCAAUCACUCGAACCUCGCAAUUUACAAAGGUCCAGUGCGUUACACUGUACCCACUGACGACUAUGGACAAUAGUCUCACCCCCGUGUUGUUGUUUUUGGGGGUACCGGUUCACACGCGAGCGGCGCGGCGGCGCGAGGAAAGGGCGUAGCUCCGUAGUUAGCGCCCUACCACAGAGACCAGAUAGCAGCACUCUGAGUCGGCUUCUUAGGGGUAUAAGAAAAGAAAAGAAAAGAAUCGAUGUUGUAAUGUUAUGUUUAGAAAUCGAUUGUAUAUUUAGAAGUUGAGAGUCAAUGUAAUAAAAAAUGCGAUGUAAAAUGAUGAGAUGAAUGAUUGUAAUAAUAUAGGAUGUGUUAUGUUGUUUGAUACCUUCCUUAUGCAAUCGUUGUUGAUAAUUGUUCCUGUUUGGAACCUCUUGUAAUUGUAUUGAUUGCGACGCCUUGAACGUACAGGGGAGACUCUGUCCGCGUGCAGGGGAAACCCUGUCCGUUCGGCGGUCUGUUGGCGUGCCCGAAUCCGACCAAAGAGGCGGGCUCGGGGCGUGACAGGUAAGAUGGUAUCAGAGCAUAAAGUAGAGAAUGGGAAAGUGGUUUAGAUGAACCUAGGAGACCCUAGGAUAGUAAACCAUAGGAGAUUAAGGCUCGUGAGAGACGAGGACUUGUGACUUUUGGCGAAAGGUUAAGGGAUUGGGUUGUGUUGUAAACCUCUAAAAAGGAGAUUAGAGGUAGAUCCAAGGUGUUGUCUAUUCUCAACCGAGGGUGUUCAUGUUGGACGCGUACAACAUGAAACCGAGUGAUGAGAAUAGAUGCCCUUGUAUGACUUUCGCCCGAUUUGAGUUGAUGUCAAUUGUUUCAUGCUCGACCUAGAAGGUUGAGAGUUAGUUGAGUUGUCAUGUUCUAGGUAAAGAUGGCACCGCGUAGGCGAUCUUCGUUUAGAUCGACGCGGGGUGGGACAAGUGAUGUCCCUGAGCAAUCCGAGGCGAGCGGAGACUUGGAACUUCGCGAACAGUUGGCCACACUUGUGGGUGUGGUGAGGCAACGAGCAGAUGUGGUGCAGCGGCAGCAGGAGGCUGCUAUGCACCAGGAGGAGCGAAUUAAGAGACUCCGGAAAAGAAAUUGUAGGUGUAAUAUACCGAAAUUUCGGUAAGCGAACAUCGAACCUUGGUCAAAUUGACCAAAGAGCGAGGUUGGUACACUUCGGAAAGGCCGAAGGCGUCAAAUAAUGCAAAAGUGCGUUGCUGGGGGUCUUCGAGUGCGUUGGAAUUGAAAAUCUGCAAAGCUGCAGGUUUUCAGCUCUCAGGGACCGGUCCCAGGUCGGAGAGACCGGUCCCCGAGCGCGUGUGGAGUCUGGGAACUGAAGAUUUGGCUAAGUCUUGGAACGCAGCUCUCGGGAACCGGUCCCAAGGGGACAGACCGGUCCCCGAGAGACCGGUCUCACCAGGGGAGACCGGUUGCAUUGUGCGAGAGCUCUGCUGCCGCGGGGAGAGCUCUCAGGAACCGGUCCCAUGGUCGGGGAGACCGGUCCCAGAGCCCGAAGUCUGCCCAGUUUGGGCAGUGUUGUGAAAUAAAAGUUGAGGGACUUAGUUGCAAUUUUGCAAUGAAUAGAUUGUGUAUGAUGGGUGAAUGAGAUAUUUUCUCAUCCUCACCCUCACACUCUCUCACUUCUCUUUCUCUCUCUAGAGGACAAAGAAAGAGAGAGGAAGGAAAGGAAAAGAAGGAGAAGGAGCGGGCUUUGGCAGCCCUCAUAACCUUCAUAAAGUUUGAUCCACCUAUCUUCGAUGGAGAGAAUGUCGAUUCGUGAAUUGUGGAUACGUGGAUUGACUCUGUGGAAACGCUCUUCGAGGAGCUGUCUACCUUGGAGCGGGACAGGGUACCCCUAGCCGUGUAUUGUUUGAAACGGUCGGCUAAGGCGUGGUGGAAAGGCAUUCGGCGGAACCGAUCGCCUAGUAUUCCUCCAUGGCAUGGGAUGAGUUUCGGGGAUUGGUAUCUUCUACUUACUUCCCCCGACAGUGAAAAGAGAAAGCUUCAGGACAAGUUCAGGAAGCUGCGGCAAGGAGACCGCUCAGUUAGAGAGUACGAACGGGAAUUCUCCCUAUCGUGAACUAUGUCCAGGAUAUGGAACCUGCUGCUGACAACGUCAUGGCAGGUAUGAGCCAUUAAUGUAGUCAUGUGUUUCUGCAUAAUGUAAAGUUGGUGCAUUGCAUGCAUUGAGCAUGUAAUUAAUUACUACUAUUUAUGUAGUAGCAUAGUAGGGUCCAAGUGAGCGGAUAAAUGUAAAUACCCGAGCACGCUUAUGUGCUGAAAGCGUUGCACCUGCCGGUGCAGGUAGAGAACUGGAUGGUACUAGCGAGUUGCUAGUGAUGGUCUAAUGAUGAGACUUGUAGUAGAGGUGGAAACGACGAACCAACUCGCAGAGCAAUGUAUGUAAUUGAUUGUGAGAGUUGUGUCAUGACACUUGUGGACACUCGAAUGGUUUGAGUGUUCUAGAUGUUGCUCCGGUAGAGCGAUUAGCUGCCAAAUACGGGCGCGUUGGCCUAGUAGUACCUCGAAUUGGGGUGGGUGAGUCGUGCUCGUGUGGCCAGUGUGCAUAGGUAAGAGUUGCCUAAUGCUGGACAUAGUGUGGAGCGCUUUAGAGGCGUGCGAUACACGAGUAUAGUUACUCGUGGAGUGCGGAUUUAGUUUAGCCGGAUGAGUGUGUUGGCAGUAGCACCUGAGCAUUGCUAGGUGUGAAGCGUGCCACGGAUUACUCGUGGGGCUGGUGGCUCGCACUUGGUGCAUAGGAGCCGAUAGUGGUACGUAUUGCUCAAUGGAGCGUGUAGUGCGAUCGAUAGUAUACUGAGAGUGCGAGUGUGACCGAACCCGGGAAUCUGUAACGGUUUGGGAUCUUAGUUGCUCCUGGUUGGAGUGUGUGCGAAUUUUCAAGUGAGAAUUUCGCCCCAAUGAUGAUUGGGUCUGCAUUGCGAGCGAGAGACGCUGCGUAUUGAGAAAGGUUAGGCGGUAGGCCUACGUAGGAUUGGUGGCCUUUGGUCCACCUGUGGAGACCGAAGAGAGCGGUUUGGCGGAUAGCCUUAUCGAGGAGUCUAACUCGAAUUCACGAACGAAGUGUUCGUGUGAGUUGUUGCGAAAGUAAUGUGAUGUUGACCGUGGCAUAUGGUAUCAGGUGAUGAAGUGCUCUUGGUGAAACCUCGAGCUAAUGGCAAGCCACGUGGAGUUCGAGGAUUGGAAUUGGGAUGCGCCGAGGUGGGCCAUCUCUCGUCAAAGUUAAAGUUUAGUGCGGAAUUAGAGCACUUACGAUGAAGCGAUGCACCGAUGAUAUUGUUUUUAGGCAAUGUCGGUGAUUGAUUUAGAAUGCAUUCCUUGAAGGGGAAGUAAAUGCAAAGAAGGUUUCUUGCUUGCCAAGUGACAAGUGGGGGUUGGAGCGCGUAGAGUCGUCGAGUUUCGACUUGCCCUACCACCUAGAGUGACGGAGACCGUAAUGCACUUUGUGAGAUGUGCCUUGCAAAGUUGGAUGCGUUUGGUAUCAUAAGCUCCGUAGUAGUCCUCUUGGAUAGUUCCAAAGAGUGUAAAGCCCUUCCGAAGUGUAAAAGUGCAUUAGUGCCCUCAAUUGCUCUAGGAGCUGAAUUGAGGUGUGGUUUGAGUUUCGCGGACGAAACUCCUUUUAAGGGGUGGAGAAUGUAAUAUACCGAACUUCUAAUUCAUGAAGUUACGAUGUAUGUUAGCUUAGAAAGCCAUUGGAAUCGUUUCGGCGAAGUUCGGAAGCAUUCGGGUGCUUCGGUGCGCAUAGGGCGCGAAAACGAAGCCGAAAGGCUAUGUUGGACCGUGAGUUAAAUCCGGCAUUAGCGUGGAUGAAAAGAUGAUGAAAACAUGUUCGAAAACAUGUUUGGAGAGUCUCGGUUCGAUUUGAAAUGAAUCGGAGGUCAAACGAGCAAAAACGAGCGAAAACGGAGCUAAAACGGUGAAAAAGCUGAAAAUUUGGCUAAGUCCUUGAAGGCUGAUUUCUGGACCUUCGGGGACCGGUCUCUCAGCCAAGGACCGGUCUCUCAGGGACCGGUCUCUCAUCGCAAGGACCGGUCCCCGAACCCCGAAAAUGCCCAGUUCGGGCUGUUGCGAGGGAAGCAUUGUGGAGGGGCUUAAGUGCAAAAUGGCACUUAUGAGAGUGUAUAGAGAGGACCCUUUCUCUCUUUCUCUCAUUUCUCUCACUCUCCCACACCAAAACCUCUCCCUCUCUCUCUCUAGAAAGAAAAGAAGGAGAAGAAGAGAAAGAAAGAGAAGAAAAAGAAGAAGAUGAAGGAGAAGAGGCCAAGAAGAUGGAGCUUCAUCUUCAUCUCCUUCCUUGAGCCAUGGGAGCAAGCUUAGAGAGGUAAGCCUUAUGCUCUCUAAUGGUAGAUCUUUAGGGUUAAGUUCUUAUACUCUAAAGAUGAUUUUAAUGGAAUCCUAGCAUGCUAAAUAGAUGGUUUAUGCUUGAUUCAUGAGAUGAAAUGGUGGAUUUUGCAAUAGUUGCAUAUUAGGGCUCCUAAAGAGGGUUUUUGUAAAUAGUUGGGUUUGAUCUCAAUUGACCCUCUAUAAACCUAAUUGGGGACCAAACGAACGCGUUGGUGCGCUCGGUUCGACAAUCCGACGAGUGUACGCGAAGUUAUUGACGAAACAAUCUGUUUUGGUACAGAUAGCCGCAGCACGCGGGAUAAGCCUCCAAAAAUCAUGAGAAUGGAUCGGGAGCAUCGUGGUGUCGGGGAAUAAACUCCCGAACAGACGGAUCGCGAAUUGGUGGCCGUUCGGGUGGUCGCGUGAGAGAUCGGGCCAAACCGGGUUACGGGUGCCGCGGGAGGCCGAUUGCAAGUGUCGACAAGCAAUCGGAAUGCGAAAUGAGGUGGGUUGUGCUCACCGAAGCGAUUAGGUCGCUUUCCAUGCUAAAGUGUAGUAUGUUUACUAUUUACGCAUGAUAAAGUAUGCUAUUUAAGAAUGCAUGAUAAAGAUUAAAGUAUGCUAUUUGAGAAUGCAUGAUAAAGUAUACUAAUUAAGAAUGCAUGAUAAAGAUAGAUGCCAAAUGAAUGCAUGAGUUGAUGUUAAUUUAUAUGUGCAUAUUAUAGAAAUGCUAAAUAGAUGUCAAAUGAAAGUAUGAGAUUGUACUAACCGAGAAUGCAUGUAGUAAACGUUAACGAAUGCAUAAAAUGCUAAGUGAUGACUACCAAUGGAUGACAAAAUAUAUGCAUGUUGAACAUAGAUCGAGUGGCAUUCGAAAUGGUAAAGUGGACACUAGAGUUAGUGUGGGACAUCAAAGAAUAAAUGUGAUGUAAAGAACAAUGAUAAUGGCUAAAGAUAAUGUAAAACAAUGUGAUGAUAAUAAUGUAAUGUUGCAUGAUGUGAGUACACGUGCUUAUUAGAAUGAUUAAGAAUCUAAAUAAUCUAUGUGUAUGCAUGAGAUGUAAUGUGAGAACCUAAUGAUAAUGGCUUGAGACAAGGCAAAGCAAUGUGAUGUAAAGAAUAAUGAUAAUGGCUAAAGACAAUGUAAUGUAAUGUGGCAUAAAGAACGUGUAAAGUUAAAGAAUGUGAAAGCUAAAGAUAGCUUAAAGUAAAGGAAUGUGAAAAACGUGAUUGCUAGAGUUAGCAAAAGUAAAAGAGAUGUAAAGAACAAUGAUUGCUAGAGUGGCAACAUAAAGUGAUGUAAAGAACACUAGAGUUAGUGUAAAACCAUGAUCCAACUACAUAUCCUUAGAGUUAAGGAUUGAUCAUACUUGCUAUGAGUUCCGUGCUCGAGGGCGGUCGCUCCCCCUCGGGCGAUGCGCUCCGGAGUUUGGCAUCCGGGUUGGAGUAGACCCGUAAGGACGGUCCUAGCUGGUGAGUUCCUGCGAUGAUGGACUUAAUGUGAAGCAAGUUAAUGUGGCGAAACCCCCGGGUUAGCCGUGAGAUUAAAGAACAAAGAACAAAAAGGAAUCAUGAAUUGGAAAGUGGAUCUUGUAUUCAUUAUGAAUUGACUCAAGACCGAGUCGAGUGGCAUAGUUGGCUAAGGUAAAGGUAACCCUGUGAAAGAAUGACAAUUGAGAAAGAAUGACAAUUGAGAAACGUUUGUUAAUGUUAUAAAGAAUGGCAAAUGUGUAUAAUGCGCCUAAGGUGCGAGUGCCCUUAGCAAAGAAUAAAGAAUAAAGAAUAAAGAAUAAAGAAUAAAGAAUAAAAAAAGAAAGAGUAAAGAAUGGCUAAUGAUAAAGAAUAGCAAAUUCUAAAGAAAGGCUAAUGGUAAAGAAUGACUAAGAGUUGCAUAAUUUGCAUAUUUGUGAGGCAUGAACAUGUAUUGCAUGAUGUUAUAUAUAUAUAUAUCUGUUGGACUAACAUGUUGCAGUGCCUCCUUUGGACCUGGUGGGUUGAGCUUUUCCCUUGGGUGGCCGUACCCACUGGGAACUAUGGACAAUAGUUCUCACCCCAUAUUGUUCGGGAUUUUUCAGGUCCACACGCGAGCGGCGCGGCGGCGCGAGGAAAGGGUGUAGCACCGUAGAUAGCGUCCUACCACUAAGACCAUAGCAGUACCCCAAGUCGGCUAGCUAGGGGUAUAGAAAAGAAAUGAAAAUAAAAUUGUAAUAACAAAUGGUUGUAUUUUGGAAGUUAAAUGUAAUAUGUAAAAAGCAUGUGAUGUGAAUGCUUGUAAUAACUUAGUUGUUUUAUGUUAUUGAUACCUUCCUUAUGCAAUUUUUGUAUGCAAUCUGUUCCUAGUUGGAACCUCGCGAAUUGUAUGGAUUGUGGCGCCUAGGACGUAUAGCGGAGACUCUGUCUGUUCGGCGGUCUGUUGGCGUGCUCGAAUCCGACUAAAUAGGCAAGUCUCGGGGCGUGACAGCCCGAGUGAAAAUGGGAGCAGAUAACGAUGGACUUUGUCGUGGGUUUACUGAGUGCAGCGUGAUUUCGAUGCUAUUUGGGUGAUAGUGGACAGACUGACCAAGUCUGCUCACUUCCUACCAGUACAGACCAUCUGGUCCGGAGAGAGAGACUCUUUCAGUUAUACCUGGAUGAGAUUGUAAGGUUGCAUGGUGUGCCGAUCUUGAUAGUAUCAAAUAGAGACCCGGGGCUUGUCUAACAUUUCCGGAGGAGCCUUCAUACGGCCUUGGAUACACAGCUACAUUUCAACACAGCGCUUCACCCACAGACAGAUGGUCAGUCAGAGCGGACCAUUCAGACAAUGGAGGACAUGCUGAGAGCUUGUGUCCGGGACUUUGGAGGAGGGUGGCAUCGACAUUUGAGACUGGUUGAGUUUGCAUACAAUAAUAGCUAUCAAAUGAGCAUUCAUAUGGCUCCGUUUGAGGCAUUGUAUGGACGCAUGUGUUGAUCCCCUUUACAUUGGAGUGAUGUGGGUGAGAGGAAGACUCUGAGAGCUGAAAUUCUGAUAGAGGCAGAGGAGAAGGUCAAGGUUGUACUACGACACAUUUUGACAGCUCAGAGUCGAUAGAGGAGCUACGCCGAUACCAGGAGACGAGACUUAGAGUUUCAGCUUAGAGAUCAUGUGUUUCUGAAAGUCUUGCCGUCCCGAGGGAUACGCUGAUUCGGAGUUCAUGGAAAGCUCAGUCCACGGUUUGUAGGCCCUUUUGAGGUAUUGGAGGGAGUCGGACCAGUAGCAUACAGGAUUGCUCUACCCCCACGACUGGCCGGUGUUCAUGAUGUUCUUCACGUUUCGGCAUUGAGGAGAUACGUGUUCGACCCCUCACACGUGAUUGACUUCACUCCACUAUAUAGAGCUUGGCGAGGACUUGAGAUAUGAGGAGCGACCGGUGCGGAUUCUUGCUCGUGGGACGAAGAAAUUGCGCAACCGGCUCAUCCCUUAUAUAAAAGUGCAGUGGAGUUAUCACGAGGAGCGUGAGGCGACUUGGGAGUUUGAGACGGUGAUGCGGGAGUCUUACCCUUACUUGUUUGAGGCUCAGGAGUGAGGUAUGUGUUAAGUUUCGAGGACGGAACUUUUUGUAGUGGGGGGGGAUAUAGUAUCCCUGAUGUUUGGUUGCUAGUGAGAUUUCAGCAUCUGAGACUUGUCGACACAUCUGGAGAGUGUCGGCACAAGUCAGAGUCGUUUUGGCGCGAAAUGGACGCAAAACGGACUCAACGCGAGGCGAGAGUGGAGUUCUGACGCUGAAAUCCGCAAAGUGCAGGAUUUCAGUGUUGAGUACCAAUACCAUACAAGGAAGUACCGGUACCCCAGUGUAUGGUCAGAACUGAUGCUCUCGGGUUGUGCCAAUUUGAUGCUGAGUACCGGUACAGUAUCGUUGGUACCGGUACCCUGUGUGAGAGCUUGCGGGCUGAGAGGCCGAGUACCGGUAACCAAAUCGGGUACCGAUACUCCAACUGGUUUGUUGAGUUGGUAGGGGUAGUAGUGUCUUUUUGGUUGGUGGUUAUCCACACCACCUAUUCCCUCUCAUAUCUAUCCACCUAAGAGAGGAUAAUUAUUUCAUUUCCUCUCUCUUUAGUUUUUGAUCGUGAGCUUGGUGGUGGUCGUGGUUCGAGCUCGGAAGUCGUCGCCGUUGCGCCGGAGGGUCAUUCGAGUGCGUGGGCGUCGCGGUUGCGUCGUUGGGAGGCCGAGUGAGCGCGUGGUUUUCCUCAUGUUGACAUCUCGCCGUGGUUGGACGGGCUUUUCGAGGUUGGUUGAAGUUUACUGAAAGCGUCGGAAUUCCUUCUAAGUUUUAUCAACGUCAACAUGUGUUUCUAGGUUCAUUGGUUUAUCUUGCAAGUACUCGAAUUCAUGGAAAUUAUAGGUUAUGCUAUAGAAUUUGAAUAUAGGGUUAAGCUAGUUACUUUGUUUAUGCAUGUUGGACCUAGAUUUGACUUAGGAGAAAACUAUAGAUCCUACACUGUCAUUUUCUAAAAAUUACCAGAUUUAGCUUUAGAAGAUGUAGUUUGUUUGUAUCGCCGCUGUUCGUAUGCGAUAGAUACCCAGAUUAGUGUAGGGUGAGUUUACGCUCGUGCUGGAAUGCUGAGCUUAUUUUACAGUAGUGUGUAGACUGUUCAGAAUUGUCGGGUGCUGUCGCAGUUGACAGUGGACCCAGAUUUCUGUAUUUGCAUCAGAUUGUACCGGAGGCACGUGAGCUUUCGUUGUUAAACCAACUAAAACCUUUUUCUUUGAUUGUAGCCUGCGAGAGCCUUAUUGAGCUCGGCAGAAAUACGCUUGCAUGCUCGGUUGGGUAGCGCCCACGAGUGCCACUCCGGAGUCGGGCUUUGUGCGUUCGCGUUGAUGUCGUCAUGUUCGAGUUGGACUUACACUCCACUAACAACCCAGCGUGGUGGUGGUUGGUGUAGCUUCGACAGACGGGAUAGGUGCGUUCACAGUCCCUUGUGAGAUUGAGUCAGAGAUUGCAUCUUGUUUAUAUCUACAGAUAGUUAGCAUUGGUUAGCGAUAGUAUAGUGGCAUAUAACUGUAGAGUGUUACCAGCUUCCUUUACUAUCCUUGAGCAUACUUUUUGUACACUUAGUGGGGGAGCCAUUGAGGUCGGUAGCGGUACCCACUGAGGACUACUUUUUGCAGUAGUACUCACACCCAGUUGUUGACCCCUUUUUGCAGAGCCUUCAUCUGCGGCUGCUACUGUUAUAGAUUCUGAUCGUGGAAAGGGAGUCGCUAGCUAGACCCCUUAUAGCCUUGCUGCAGUAUUGGGGCUUUUUGUACAUAUGGACUUAUUGUCUGGGUACUCGCUGGAGCGAGUGGUGUAGUAGACAUUUUGUAUGUACUAGAACCCCUCGAGGUUUUUAUAUAUGCUUUUUUCAGUUUAGCAGCUCUUACCUUGUGGUUGUAGCUUGUUUUCGUUUACAGGUACAGCUAUCGCUUCGUAUACAGAAAAAAUUUCUAUGUAUACGGCGGGUCUGUUGGUGUGCCCGAAAAAAUGUGUAAUCCAGGGCAUGAAAGAUUGUAAGGACUGAGAUUUUGGCAGUAUAGCUAAAUGCUCUGUUGACAAUGUUUUUGUGUGUAAUUUAAUUACAAAAGUACUCAUCAAGUUUCGGAAGAAAACGAGUUAGAACGGAGAUUUUACGCGAUCUCCAAGUUUCACUUAAAGUGAAU